AAUGGGAUUCCUGGUUGGUAUUUUCUUUUGCCGUAAUUCUAGCAGUUGCAAAUCAGAUCCCUUUGGCUUUUCCUGAUACAUAUGUAUACAAUCUCUGUAGUUGUAGUGUUUAAUCUGCUUGAGCCUGGGAAUAUUUCAAGUGCAUUAUGCGGAGGCCAAGUGGGCACGUUGAUUGACCAAUCAGGAGGAAUUAGUUGAUGCAAAAGAAAUGUCUGCUGGAUGUGCUUUGAGGCAUGAUGUCAACUUCAUGGAAGUACAGCAGGUCCAGUGUCAAAAACAUGUAUAUAUUGGAAAUUUGAAAUGCAGCAAUCGCAAUCGGAUGCAUCACUUUGAACUCGCUACUGUAACAUAAAUGACUGAGUUUGGAGCAUAUCCCUGUGUCACAUGUAAAUCCUGUAGUAGAAUUAGAACCUACCCAAUAAAUGAUGAAGAAAAAUGCUGGUUUCAGUGGGAAAGUUAUUGCUUCAACGACCCUCCCAGACGUUUCUUUCUUUGUUAAUGUGCAAAGUCAUCUGCUUUUUUAGGAUUUUUAAUGUGAUUAUUUAGUUGUCACAAACUAUUUACUCUUCUUUGAGUGACUCCAAAUCAUGGGUGUCAUGUUGCUUUCAACCUUUCAGUUUUUCGAGAGGAUGCGAUAAGCUAAUUUUCAUGUUGAAUUGUAACCAAAUAUCUUUUUUUUAGGCUACCGUUUAACAAAACAAAAUUGGUAAAUAGACAAACCCCCCAACCUGCUCUUUUCCCGUAAAGGUUUGGCGAGUAAAGCAAGAUCUAAACUGGGAUUAAGGAAUGCUAUUAUGGGAUAGAAUAUUUAUACAGUUCUUCUUGGGUUAAGUUAUAGGGUAGAUAUAUAUUUAUUUUUUAUAUUUUAACAAUACAAUAAACCACAUUUUUCUUUUAUUUUUUUGCAGAAAGUGCAUAAAAUGAGUCGUUUAUUUUUAUUAAAAUUUUCGUAAAUUAGGCAUAUACUCAAAAGCCUGUACACAAACUAGCAAGACGAAGAAAAUAAGUUUUAUUUUCUUUUAUAAAAUAUUCAAAAUCCAAUUAAGGAGACAAAGACGUUAUUUACCAUCAUACUUUCCUUUUCUCUAUAAUAUAAUGAAUUCUUCUUGUGAUGCUAUGUUAAAUUAUAAUAUGGUCUGCACGUGGGCGAUAAGGGAUGAUAAAAGAAAAUAAAUAAAAUAAUUUAAUAUAAUAAUUCCUAUUUUAAUAGGAUUUAUCUGCUUUACAAUUUUAUAUUGUUAUUGUUUUGAUUAUCCUAGUCUAGUUAACAUUUGAGUUUACAUUCAAUUUGAAUCUGUAUCAGUUAAAUAAAUCAAAAUUCUAAACAGAAACCUAUUAGGAAACAGCAACGAGUAUAAGUAAUCAUAACUACAAACUUUGGACUCAUACACUACUCUCACAUUGCAAUAAUGAAAACCUCUCUUCUCAUCAUUUUCUUCUUUCUUGCCCUUACGCUUUCUCCUAGUUUCGGCUUACCUUCUAAUACCGGCGGCAGCCGCAAAGGCAACCAUCAUCUUAAGCUUCAGCUUCCGGCCGGAGUAGUUGGCCCCGAAAGCCUUGCUUUCGACUGCAAUGGCAAAGGGCCGUACGUCGGUGUUUCCGACGGUAGAAUUCUCAAGUGGCAAGACUCAAAACUUGGUUGGACUGAAUUUGCCAGCACCACUCCAUUCAGGUAAGAAUUCGUAUAUAUACAUGUUAGUAUGUAAUUUAACAUGUGCGAUUCUUAUGUGCGAUUCUUUUAACAUCAGAUAUAUUACUUUGAUUUAUUUGUAUGUGCAAUUUAACUAAAUCUAGUUUACGAAUUAUUAAUUUAUUUCUUUUCAAAUUUACCAACGGAAUUUCAAAUUUGCAUGCGAUUUGAUUAGGCGGCUAAGGAGGAUAUGUGAUGGCACAAGCAGCACGAUUUUAGAACCCUUAUGUGGGAGGCCGUUAGGCAUUAAAUUCAAUCCUGUUACAUGCGAUCUUUACAUCGCUGAUGCAUACUUUGGCUUGAUGGUCGUCGGGAGAAACGGCGGCCCAGCGAAACAACUUGCUUCUUCAGCUGAAAGAAUUCCCUUUCGCUUCACAAACGCCUUGGACAUUGAUCCCAAUACCGGCGUUGUUUAUUUUACCGACAGCAGCAUGUACUUCCAAAGAAGACAGUACCCUAUGCUGAUCGAAAGCGGAGACAGAAGUGGAAGAUUAUUGAAAUACGAUCCUCGCAACAAACAAGUGACGGUAUUACGAAGGGGCUUAGCAUUUCCAAAUGGCGUCACCCUGAGUAACGACAAAUCAUUUUUACUGGUUGCUGAAUCAGAUUCAAGGAGGAUUCUAAGGUUCUGGGUUGAAGGUGAGAGCGUUAUAUAUUCUCCGCAACCGUUCGCUCAAGUUGCUCAAUUUCCGGACAACAUCGAGACAGACAGGAACGGAGACUUUUGGGUUGCACUAAACACUAAGAGAGGAAAUGACAAGACAGAUCUUGUGGCGGUAAAGCUUGAUGGCAGCAAUGGCAAUGUCCUUGAUGUUUUAGAAGGAAAUAAACAAAAUGCACUCGAUUCUGUUAGCGAAGUCGAAGAACAUGGUGGAUAUUUGUACGCGGGAUCUCCAGUGCAGCCUUACGUUGUUGUAAUCAAGGCUUAGCUAGGCUUGAUUUUUUUUGCUUCUUUUCAUUCUUCUUUGUUCUUAACUUCUAACAAUACAAUAAACUACAGUUUUCUUUUUUUCUUUUCUUUUUUUUAAUUGCAUAAAAUGAGUCAUCCGUAUUUUUGUUGAAAUUUGCUUUAAUUAGGCAUAUACGCAUGAAAUAAAAGCAAGCAUGAAACUGUCAUCACCAUAAAAUUGAGCUCAAAAUAAAUUCAGAAAGUUGAUUAUUUGAGAAUCUUUAUAGGAAUUGGUUGUUUUGGAUCUGAAAGUUGUUUAUUUGAGAAUCCUUAUAGGAAUUGAUUAUUUCGGAUGCUAAAACAAUCCCAAACUUGUUGUUAUGAUUAUAAAACUCUGCUUUUCCGUAAACAGAAGAACCUAAAGUGCUAAACCCAUUAGCACCUAAAUUAUAUUCUGUUCUCUGUGCAAAAAGUUCAAGAAGUGUAUUCAAAGGACUCGUCUGAAUUUCAUUUGAGCGAGUUGAUAAGAAUAAUCAAAGAAACGCAUACAGUCUUAAUCUAAAGAAACAGUAAUAAUGAAAUGAACUCAACAUAGUAAUGUAGUACAAUGCGGAGCUAGCAAAUAAAUGUAACGGCUAUUAUCAAUUUCCAUCAAAGAGCUGAUUAAUAUACAUGUUGUUCUUCCCAUUUUACAACUUUUAUUUGGAUCCUUCUAUCCUUUGAUCUUAUCCUUAAGUUGGAGAGAACUCAUGGCCCUCUGCUGAGUCACAAAUCCAUGUCAUGUUGCACAUCACUAACGGCAGAGAGCAAAGCACCGAUGAUAUCGUUACAAGGUAUUCAUUGAAACAAUUCGUCGAACAAUUUGAUUUCUUUAACAAACAGUUGCCUCUACUCAUUGCAGAGCAAGAAAAUAUUAAAAUAAUGAAAUAGAUCAUUUGGAUUACAUAGGAAAGGCUAGUCAGCAAUUCAUUGUUAACUAAUACUAUAAUUAAAUAAUAAAGAAACAAUUAAUAUUUUACCGACUGAUUAACUUGACAGCAAGGCAGUUUAAAAAAAUUAAUUUAAUAAAAAAAAGACCCACAACACUAUUAAUAUUAAGCAGUUGCGUAGCACAGUCCCACCAUCUUAGCAGCAAAUAAUAGUGUUCUGUCAUGUGAUACAGUUAUGGGUCCAAAGUGAAACUUUUAGUGAUCCCACAAUAUAACCUCUUAAAUUUAAUAUUAAAAAUAUUAUUCGGUCCUAUUAUCUAUAUAUCUAUAUAAAGUUACGACUACAAGAGCUGAUGUGACAUCACCAUUCCUCAUCUUUUUAUAUUGUUCUGUCAUGUGAUACAGUUAUGGGUCCAAAGUGAAACUUUUAGUGAUCCCACAAUAUAACCUCUUAAAUUUAAUAUUAAAAAUAUUAUUCGGUCCUAUUAUCUAUAUAUCUAUAUAAAGUUACGACUACAAGAGCUGAUGUGACAUCACCAUUCCUCAUCUUUUUAUAUUCUCUAUUAUCUAAAAUAUUUGUGGAUAUUCUUUAUACAUGCCUCUUCCUCUUUCUAUUUAAAUCCAACAAUAUGUAAUCAUUAAUAAUAAUUAAUUAUAAGUCUUUUGAAACAUUUAUUUAUUUUAUUAUACUAGCAAUUAAACUUUAGUAGCUUAAAAUACAUCAAUUAAUUAAUAUAGGAAGAGAAGUUCUUUCAUCUUCCCUCUUCCCUCAACAAUGCUACUAGAGCCUAAUUUUAAUGUCAUAAUCCCAUAUUUAAUUAUGCAACCUUUUGUUUAAUGCCUUUUGACUUCUUCAAACUCUCUAAACACUAAAUAUUUAAGAUUUGUUAUGUUUGAUUUUUUUUAUUAUUUAACCAACAUCCUCUUUAGAAAAAUUCUUAUAUUUUAUUGUUUGAUUUAUUUAAAUUUUUGGUAUUGUGUGCUUCAUGGAGUACUCUUUUCUUCAUAAGUUGAACAAUGAUAAAGAUAGUUGGAUGAUAAGGGUUAAGCUGUGUAGGAUGUGAGAGUCUACUAAUACUAAGAAGAAUGACGAAUCUUUCUACUUAAAUCCAACAAUAUGUAACCAUUAACAAUAAUUAAUUAUAAGUUUUGAAACAUUCAUUUAUUUUAUUAUGCUAGUUCCACCAUAUGACAAACCACCAUCAAAAUUAUUAAAAAAAAGCAACUAAAAUAAAUACCAAUGUAUAUCAACGCCUCACAAUUACACAAUUCAAAAACUUACUUCUUUCGAUUGCAAUAAUGAAAAACUCUCUUUUCAUCGUUUUCUUUUUUCUUGCCCUUACGAUAUAUAUAUAUACAUAGUUUCAGCUUACCUUCCAAUGCUGGCCGCAGCCGCAACGGCAACCACCAUCUUGAGCUUCAGCUUCUGGCCGGAGUCAUAGGUCCCGAAAGCCUUGCUUUCGAUUGCAAUGGCGAAGGGCCGUACGCCGGUGUUUCCGACGGUAGAAUUCUCAAGUGACAAGGCUCAAAAUUUGGUUGGACUGAAUUUGCCACUACCACUCCAUACAGGUAAGAAUUUGUUUAUAACAUGUGUGUGUGUCUAAUUUAUAUUAUUGUAUUAUAGCAUGAAUUUACAUGCACGCUCGUUAUUGUGUUGUCCUAUUAUGUAUAGCAAAGGUUAUUGUUAGGGUAGCAUUUUUACAGUGCUUCCUGUGCUGUUAUAGCAAAUUAAACGUCAAGAAGAGAUUCUUAGGGUCCUUUAAGAUUGAAAAAAAAAAAAACUCUAGGUGAGACUCUAACAAAUUAAUAAAUAGUCGUUUUAUUUUCAAAAUACUCUCUAAAUAGAUAUAUAGCAUUUCACUCUCUUAUGUCCGAUUCUUGUAACAUCAAAUAUAGGCUAGUAAUGUUGUUAAAUUUCUAAGAUAUAGAUAGACCUCAAGCAGCUUUAGUUUCACCCAAAUGUUCACUCAUAUGAUAAUUACAAUGGCAUAGAAAAUGGAACAAAGGAAAAAGAAAUAAGAGUCUCACCAUACAUAUUCUUUGCGCUUACAGGAAUUUUUGAUGCAUUUUCUUCAGUUAUGCUAACGGAAUUUCAAAUUUGUAUCUGGCUUAAUUAGGCGGCCUCGCAAGAUAUGUGAUGUCUCGACCAACACAACUUUAGAACCUUUGCCAAUGGGCAUUAAAUUCAACCGUGUAACAUGUGAUUUGUACAUAGCUGAUGCAUACUUUGGAUUGAUGGUUGUCGGCCCAGCGAAACAACUUGCUCUUCAGCUGAAUCUCUUUUUGCUUUACAAAUGCUUUGGGCAUUGAUACCACUACCGGAGCUGUAUAUUUUAUUGACAGCAGCAUGUACUUUCAAAGGAGGCAAUAUUCUAUGUUGAUCAAUAGUGGAGAUAGAAGUGGGAGGUUGUUGAGAUACGAUACUUGCAGCAAAGUGCUGACAGUCCUACAAAGAGGCCUAGCAUUUCCAAAUGGCGUAACCCUAAACAAAGAUAAAUCAUUCCUACCAGUUGCUGAAUCGAAUUCGGUGAAGAUUUUAAAAUUUUGGAUUCAAGGUGAGAGAGUUACAUUCUCUCCGCAACCUUUUGCUCAGCUUUCGAAAUUUCCAGGCAACAUCGAGAUGGAGAGUAAAGGAAACUUUCGGGUUGCAUUGAGACACUAAAAGACGAAAUAUUGAAAGAGAUCUUGUGGCGGUUAAGCUUGACGGCUAUGGUAAUAUUGUGAAAGUUUUACAAGGAAAUGAACGAAAUGCAUUUGAUUUUGUUAGCGAAGUUGAAGAACAUGAUGGAUAUCUGUCUGCAGGGUCUCCAAUGCAGCCUUUCGUUGUUGUAAUCAAGGCUUAGCUAAACUCGUUUAUUUAUUAUGCUUUGAUUAUUUGUCGUUCUCACAUUUUGACAAUACUGCAAUUUUCAUUUAAAUCUUUUCAGGUGCAUAAAAUAAGUACUCUGUAUUUUUAUUGAAAUUUUAAUUAGGCAUACAUGGAUGAACAAAAACCAAGCAAGAAAUAGGCAUCACCAAAAAGGAACCCGAAAGGUUAAUUACCAUCAGCAGUCGCACUUACUCCUGUUUGAGAUGAAAUAACACUUAAAAGAAGCAAAAGCCAUAACCCACAUGUCAAAAGCAUUAACAAAAAGAGACAUAAAAAGUUAUCUCAAGGGAGAUUAUUUUCUAAAUACAAAACUGUAUCAAAAUCAGUUUGUUGUACAUGGAUGCUGUCAAAACAUUUGUCACAGCAAUUAACUACUCAUAAAACUGUACACAAACUAAUUUUAUUCCGGAAAUGAAUGGCUAUGCGACAUGCUAUUUUUGAAUCUAAAUGAAAAUAUAUUUGAACCUGGGCAACUAUAAUUUGCAACCACUUCCGAGUGCAUUAUUCUGAGUUUUCUUGCUCCAAGUCCACAGCUAUUUCCUCUGUACAAAUCCGAGACCCAUCCAAAAAGUAAGGGUCGAUCUUUCAUGAAUUGCCUUCAUGUAUCCACCAACAGAAAGUCCUAAGGGAAUCUUUGGAUGCUUUAGGAAUAAGCAUUAAGCUAGACAUGAAAGCCGAUGGUUCAACUCAUGUGUAACUCAAAUCCAGAAAAUAUCAUUCAGACUGAAAAUAACUAUCAUAAAUAGAAAGCCGAUCAAAAGCAUCAAAGUUUGCUUUUAGUCCAACAAAUUGACUGCCCAGCUGAGCACAACCAGCAUCUGGCCAACGGCAGCCCCCAUCCCCUGUGCGUAAUGGACACAAAGCUUCACACACCCGACCAAUUGGAUUGCUGGAAACAACAUCAUCCAUUACGGUGACUGAAACAGAGAAAUCUGAUUUCUCAUCAUACUGUAUACUGCCAUCAGAUACUCUUUUUGAAGCGUACAUUUUCAGUGGACUCUCAGUUGUAUUACCUUCAAAUACCUUCAAAGUCAACAGUACAAUCACCACUGCUAGAAAAUUGAACCUUGCAUCCUAAUGAUUGAACGGCUCGAUUUAUGGCUUCACUUUCCUUGCUGGCCCUACUGGCUACAUUCACAGCCUUGCUCCUGAGUUGCUUCUCCUUUCUUAACUCUGCAGUUUGUGAUUCCAUAGCAAUCAUGGUUUCUUUAGCUUUCUUCUCCGCUAACUCUUUUGCCUGCCAGGAAUUUUAAUCGACUGAAUAGUAUUUACAGACCCUCUAUAAUUCAAUUACAGUAAAAAAAAGACGAGGACAGUCAGUUCAUUGUCAUUUAGGAUAAUAUGAACAAGUGAGGGGUUCCAUUAACCAAUAGAAAACAACCUUUUAUUGUUGUCUAUCACCUGAAAGGAGGGUAAAAUUCAUAUUUUGCAAUUGUCUAGUACAACACAAAAUUGCACCUGUAGAACAGAAGGAAAAAUUCCCUUACCUUCUUCAGUUCAGAGAACUUUAUAGCCAUGUCCCUACAUUGUUCUUCAAGCUCCCCAGUUUGGGCUUCGGUGGGACAAGCCCAGCGCAGAUGGAAUUGAGGCCACAAAGUUGGGGCUAAAGCUGCAGCCGGAGGUAAAAGAGGACCAUUAUGUUUCAGCGGAUCAUAAAAGAGGUUAUAGUGAACAUGAGAGCUUCCUGCCGAAGAACGCAAAUCAGCCAGAUAUGCCCACAAGCACCCACAUGCUUCAGCAACACCACAUUGCUGCCUCUCCUUUUCACUGAAAAUUAAGACUAACAAAUCAGAUAAUUCAAAAACUUUCUCAGCAGUGCCUUGAGAGUUAAACUGUUCCAUUCCAAUUUGUUUGUAUAUGUUUCCAUACAGCUACAAUAUUAUAUAAUUGGAAAAAAUAAGUAAACAAGCUGAUUUUGCACCAGCAAAUAUAAACAUCAUUCAUAAGAAUGCCUGUACCAGUUAUACAUGUUCAUUAAUAAAACAGCAACUUCAGGGGAUGAAAUGUAGCAAAAUUUCUCUUUGACCAGUAGUUCCUGAGAUUAUACAACAUACUUAUGAAGUAAAAGAAACAUCCAAACCAUGCUGACAAGCUAAAAACAUACUGAAGUCAAUUUAACAAAAAUUACAAGCUAACUUAAAAUACAACCUUUUAAUCCAUUAUACUUUAGAUUUAUCUGUAUAGUUUGUUAAUGCUUCCUUCUGAACAAAUUGUAUCAUUUAUACUCUUAAUCCUUCUCAAACUCUAUAACUUUUGCAGCAAUUUUUCUUUUUUCUUUUUAAUUGACAAAAAAAAAAGACCAUUAUGCUUUUAAAUAUAACAGUUCCACUAUGUAAUAAUCACAUCAAGAAUUCUUAAUUUUUUCUCAUCCUUUCUACUUCGAAAAAGGAAAAAUUAAAAAAAAAAAAGAUUUGAACCUCAGACUUGUAUCAAUUUAACUUUUCAUUUCCCUUAACUAAAGAUUUAAUCAAAAAGACCAAGCCCCUGGGCAUGUAAAACCAUCGCACUGCAGGAAAAACAAUAGAAAAGGAAAAAGAGAGAGAACUUAAAAAAGCAGCUCUUUAGGACAAAUUACUGGCUAAGUCCUGCUGUUAUCCCAAUAGUCAUAACAGAUGAAGUAAAUGCAUGCCAGUUACCACAGCUUUUAUUGGAAUAGGAUCCACCCCACUGCUUGUAUUAAUGUGAAACCAACCCACUGCAGAAACAAAUUCACACACCAUAUCAUUAAUUUUUCAUCAGACAAACUUAUAACACAACUAGAAAGCUGAAGUCCUCCCACAGUAGAGCCAAAGGCAUGGAAGAGGGAUCAGGACCUAAAGGCAAGCUAGUGUUUAUACAGGAUUGAGCAGCUACUUAAUGAAGUGCUCUAAGAACUUGAGCUUUUGGAUCAAAAGGUUUCUCUAACAUGGUAUCAAAAGAUAAUGUCUCAAGUUAAAUUUCCACACGUGCAAACUCAAUUUUAAUUAUUUAAAUUUCAAUUCUUUGGCUCAUUUUCGAGCUCUCCUGUAUCUAAGCCCAUCUGCAAGCUCAUCUUAGUCAACAUUUCACAUGAUGCAUGUUAAGAUUUGUUUUUCAGGCCCAUAUCGGUUUAAGCUUCUGAAUUUUGAAAAUAUUAAUUAAAUGAAGAUUCUACUAACGACUCAAUAGUUAAAUUAAAUAUUAAUGCAAGAACCUGCAAAAAUAUGGGAGAAUAGUUGUUCUUUGCAUGAGAAGAACCAGAAGCUUGAGGUGCUAAUGAACCAGAUGAUUGGCGCAUGGGUGAUGACGGAAAACUCCCAGUAGAGGACUGCCUACAUAAUUCAAAAGAUAUAUCACCACUUCCAGAGAGGGUUGGCAUUCCCACACGAUCCGAAAAUGGAUGGCCAAAUGCUAGCCAAUCUUUUUCAACAAGUGCCUGCACCAAGAAAAAAGAUUUUAUAAUUUAUGAGUCACAUCACGCAUCACACUGAGUGCAUAACUGAAGAGCAAGGCAAAUGAUAUCCAUGUUACCAUCUCAUAUGGAUAAGACAAAUAAGAACGGUACAGCAACCCAAGAAGAAAAUAAAAAAUAAGCAAAGAAAAAAAAAAUCAAUGCUAACACUUGAUUUUGAGACAGUAAAAUUAAAAUGGGAAAAAAAUAAACUAAAAGGGCCACAAAAAACGUAUGCAUGCAACAAAAGAGUUCCCACAUUGCCUUUCAUACUAGAUUAUUUAAGAACAUCUUGGCAGAAACAUCAGAAAAAAAGAUCUUAAGACUGCCAAUAAGAGCUAAAGUUUCAAGCAUAAAAAUGUACCUGAAAUCCAGCGAAUGUUCGAUAGUAUGGAUCAAGUAACAAAUUAGCAAGUGCAACCAACUGAGUUGUUCUAUCCCAACCAUCACUGCAUAACACAAAGGCAAAUGAACAUGUUAGACACCAAAAUACAAAAAUGUUAAAAAAGGCCAAUAAAGGCCAAUUUCAGGGAAACACCCGAAAUACAAAUUUUCCAUUUUGUUGAGUGUCAACAAAACGUUUUCAUUUUAUUAAUCUUUAACACAUCAAAAUAGGAAUUACCUAGGACUUCAAACAGGAAAUCUCUAAUAUCUAUCCUGAUUACAGAAGUAGGCGAAAUUGCAGUAAAAAUUCAUGUCUCUUGCUCUCUCUAUCUCGCAGCUCUCUAAAUGGUGGAAUAAAAAGUCAUUUGGAUUAAACUCAACUCAAUCUAAAUAAGGGUGUGUUUGGGAAAAAAUUUGCUAAGCUACCAAAGUCCAGCUACAAGUGUUACCAAACCCUUUAGUAGCUGGGCUUUGCUCCACACUCCCGAACGGGCUAUUAAUUACACAAGUUCAUAGACAACUUUAACAUCAUCGUAAUCACUCCAAUCUAAAGCUCAGUUUGAGAACUGGAUUUUUACCUGCCUCUCUUAGUCUUCAAAGAUUGCUGCCAGCAAUCCAUGAAAAACUCCUGGAGUAAACCUACGUAAAAAUACACAAUUUUUGACAAAGAGCCCUUCCAAGUUCACAUAUGAAAACAAUGGAUUGGUCAUUAUACCUUGGUGACCAGAGUUUCAGAUAAAAACAGCUUAAAAGAAAAUAAACAAACAAAUAAAGAAAUGAUAAAUGACGAGGUCCUUUUGAAAUCAUCCUAUCCAGAUCAUCUCCUUCCAUCCACGAGCCUCCUUGAACCAUCUCUCCAAAGACAGUCAGGCUAAUGACUAUAAAUUAAGCGCUUCUUAGGAGGCAACCCAAGCUUUCUAAACUUUAUUAUUGUCAUUUUUUUUCUUUUUUUUCUUUUCUUUUACUUAUUUUGUUUUGUUUUAGGAUUUUUCACAAGUUUGAGGGUCGAUGAACAUCAAUUUUCCACAUGCCUUUCAACGACUCAGCUACAACUUUACAUCUUCAAGUGCAAAACCGAGGGAGUUUUCUCUUUUCCUUUUCUUUUUCUUUACAUUGAGGACAAUGUUUAUUUUAAGUUUGGGGGUGGGAAUAUUUUCUUUCAUUUUUUUCAUUAAAAAAAAGAAAAAAAAGAAAAAAAAAAAGAGAUUUUAAUGCCUAUGAUGAGUUUAUGAUUGAAAAUGAAUAUGGUUCUUAGAAAGGGAUGAAUAUUGUCUUAGUUUAUACUUGAUUCUUGUGUUAGUUUCGUCUUGAUUGAGAUUCUUUAAAUAUCUUGCGCACUUAUAUCGAUUCUUUCAGAAUUUUGACUUGAGAUUUGAGAUUGAUACAGCCUAAGUUGAGAAUUUUAGAUUGAGUAAAUGACUGUUUGCCUUGAUUCUACAGUACUUAAGUUUACCCAUGCACUAUAGUCAGAAAUAGCUACCUAUAACCCUUAAGAGUGAAGCUAUCCUUGAGUAAUUUGGGCCUAUGUACCACCAGUAUGUAGAAGAUAAUCUACCAUGAGAAAAAGGCUACCUUAAGGGGUAGAGUGAAAGCUUCUGACUAUGGACAAAGAAAUGAAAAGAAAAAAAAAAGCAUGUGCUUCAAGAAAAAUCAAAAGAAAAUGCUAAUUUAUGCCUGUGAAAAAAAAAAAAUCAAUCAAGAUGAUGAAGUUAGUUUGACCUACUCUGUUUAUUAUUCGAGACAAGAGCUGUUGAUGUUGAAGAUCUUGAGAAUGAGUUUUGAUUGAAUUGAUUCACACACAACACAGGAAUCCAAUAUCAUAUGAGAUUGACCAUUGAAUUAAAGUUAGAACUUUGCUAAUAUUUUUAAUUUUCUUUGAGCUAUAUACAAUCUUUGAGGCAUUUUUUAUGAUGUUUGUGGGUAUCAUCGCUGGAAACCCUCACGAGACUAUAACUCGUCCACUAGGGCCGCCUAGGGGUUUAAAGGCUUGUUGCAUAUGCUAAAUGCAAUCGCGAUCACCUGCGAAAGUGGUUUAGUUAGAAUUUUCUUUUCGUAGUUUUUAUUUUAGUUUUUGCUCGAGGACUAGCAAAAUGUUAAGUUUGGGGGUAUUUGAUGUGCUCAUAAUUUAUCUAUUAUUUUAAUGCUUCCAUAACUUAAUUUUAUGUUAAAGUAUAUUUUAUUAUCUUAAUUUUUAUCUUAAUUUUUAUAUUUUUUCAUUGUAGGAAUAUUGAGAAUAUUCAUGAGAAAAGAAGCUUAAAGAGGAAACAAAUUGGAGUAUAAUGGAAAUAAUGUGGAAGUAAAAGGGAAAGAAAUACAAAGCCAAAUAAAGGAAGAUUGAAUUUAAGCAUCAUGCAAGCAAUCACGUGAAGAAUCAAGGAAGAGAAGAACAGGUCAAUUGGCUUUUAAUUUCAAGCUCAUUUGACAAUUUAAAUGGCAAGCUUACAAUAUAAUAAAGGAAGCAAAUAUUUUGGCAUUGUUUGAAAAGGGUAUUCACGUGGAUGGGCUUAAAAGGUGGCUAGAAUUGUUUUGUUUUAAAAAUCCUUUUUAUUUAAGAAUUCGUGGGCUGGAUUUGUUUUGUUUUGAAAUCCUUUUCAUUUAAGGAUUUGGAAGAAGCCACAACAUUAUAAAAGGAAAAAAGGCAGUCGCACAAGAGAAUGGAAGCCAAGAGAAAAGAAAUAAUUGAGCAGCAGCCGGAAGUCUUGAAUGAAAACCGAAGAGCAGCAGGAAUAAUUUAGAGCAGAAGGAAGACACAUUAAUUCUUGAUUUUUUCUUUCUCUCUUCUCUAUUAUCUUGUUUGAAUGUUUCCAAUUAAAUUAAUGAAUUCUCUUUAUAUCCCAUGAACUAAUUUAUUUUACUAGGGCUACGAUGUAGCCUAACUAUGAAGAUUUAAUUCCAUAAAUCUAUGUUAUUUAUUAUUCCAUGGUUGAGUGUUCAUUAUUGUGCUUAAUGCUUUUAAAUAUCUGGCCAAUAUUUGAAUGAUUUGAGGAUACAUAAUGAGACCGAGAGGAGAUUUAUGUAUUUUUGCUCUGUGUAAUGAAUGCCAUAAAUUGAACAAAAGACAGAGAUGUGCCAACGUGAUUCGUGCAGUUUUUCUAAGAAUUUUCAUGGAACUUAUUGGAUCUUUGCAUAUUUAAAUUCACAUAGAGAUAUAGUGGGUUAAUGUGUGAAUGCAUUUUUAAUAUUACUCGAGAGAGGAUAUUGAAUGGAUUAGGGAAAUUCACUGUCAACAUGGAUAGUAAAUUUUAAUAGCAUAGAUGGAGGAUUAAGUUGGAUUGGUUAUAGUGAAAUCGGAUGUCCUAGUGUCUUAAUCUCUUGGUGAUUUCUAUUACUGUCUGCGUCUUUAUUUAAUUUUUAAUUAUUUUAUUUAAUUUUAAUAUAAAUUCGCUUAUUCGAUUGUUCAAAUAAAUUAGGGUUAGAAUAAUUUCGGUAACUAAUAGGAUAUACAAUCUCUGUGGGACGAUACUCUACUCUUCAUUAUAUUACUUGUGCCGACUAGUACACUUGCUAAUUUACGCAUCAAGGCGCUUAAUUUAUAGUCAUUAGCUUGACUGUCUCUGGAAAGAUUGUUCAAGGAGGCUCGUGGAUGCAAGGAGAUGAUAUGGAUGGACCUUGCACAAAGUUCUUGCAAUUAGGCCUCUUCCCACGAAAAUUAGGAGAUGAAUCUUCAUUACUAGAUUGCUUAUGUAUUGUAUAAAUGUCAGGAGGGUCAAAUAGAUCUUUAUCCUUCAAUGAUUUGGCCAUUUUUCUAUCCAUGGUGUCUUCUUGAAAACAAUCUUUGAGUUCAGUUGGAUACUUGAUAAGUGUGUACACAUUGAAAAUGACUUGCUCAUUUUGAACUCUUAAAAUCAAUUUCCCUUCUUGAACAUCAAUCAAAGCUCUUCCUGUAGCUAAGAAUGGUCGGCCUAGAAUAAGAGGUAACUCUAUAUCUUCAGCCAUAUCCAAAACAAUAAAAUCUGCAGGGAAUAUAAACUUGUCAACUUUCACAAGCACAUCCUCAAUUAUGCCUCUUGGGUACUUUAUAGAUCUAUCUGCCAAUUGUAAGGUAACAAUUGUUGCCUUAGAUUCACCCAAACCUAAUUUCUUCAAAACAGAAAAAGGCAUCAAAUUAAUGCUUGCACGUAAAUCACACAAAGCUUUAUCAAAAUAACAAUUUCCAAUAGUGCAUGGAAUAUUAAAACUCCCUGGAUCUUUCAGCUUUGGUGGCAAUUUAUUUUGUAAGAUGGCGGUGCAGUCCUCAGUCAGCAUUACAGUUUCAUGCUCCUCAAGUUUCCUCUUGUUGGACAACAUUUCUUUCAUAAAUUUGGCAUAAAGCAACAUUUGUUCCAAAGCAUCUGCAAAAGGAAUGUUAAUAUGCAAUUUCUUAAACACAUCAAGAAAUUUUAAAAAUUGCUUAUCUAUGUUAUUUUUCCGGAGACGCUGAGGAAAAGGGAUUGGAGGAACAUAGGCCUUGACUGGUGUUGCUAGUUUAGGUUGUGGUAUUUCUAAACUUGCUGCCUUUGAAACCUUAGUGGUGUCUUCAGUUUGUUCUUCAUCAACUUUCUUUGCUUCUUUUCGCGGCUCAUCAAGCUGUUUACCACUCCGAAGUAUAAUUGCAUUAACUUGCUCCUUUGGAUUUGUCUCGGUGUUGCUUGGCAGAGAGCCAUGUUGUCUACUGGAUAGCAAGUUUGCAAUCUGACCCACUUGUACCUCGAGGUUCCGAAUUGAUGCAGCUUGAUUUUAAAAAGUUGUCUCUGUUUUGGUCAUGAAUUGAGACAUAUUUGUUGUAAGCUGGGUAAGAGCAUCUUCUAAGUUUGACUUCUUUUCUUGUGGUUGGAACCCUGGAGGUGGUGCCAAUGUAUUCUGAGUAUUGUUCCAUGACAAAUUCGGGUGGUUUCUCCAGCCAGGAUUGUAGGUAUUAGAAUAUGGGUUAUGUUGUUGUCUCUGGAAAUUUGACACAUAAUGAGCUUGUUCAGCAGAUGACGACGCAAAAGGACUUCCAACUUGGCAGUUGACAUUGGUAUGGUUCCCUUCGCAUAAUUCACACUCUUGAGUUUGAAUAGCACUGACAUGUAGGUGCUCUAACUUAUUAGAUAAAGCAGUCAUCUGUGCAGAUAAAGCAGUGACAACAUCAAUAUUAUGGGCUCCUACAAUUUUCCUUGGCAUUGAUCGCUCUGAAGUCCACUAGUAAUUGUUGGAUGCCAUCUCCUCCAAUAAUUCAUAAGCUGCUUCUAGUGUUUUUCCCAUUAAUGUUCCUCCUGCUGCAGCAUCAAUCAUUGUUCUGGUAUUGGAUCCUAAACCAUUGUAAAAUGUCUGCACCUGAAGCCAAACUGGUAGACCAUGAUGUGGGCAUUUUCUUAGUAGGUCUUUGUAUCUCUCCCACACGUCAUAUAAUGAUUCCAUCUCGAACUGAGCAAAGGUUGUGAUGUCAUUCCUCAACUUGGCUGUUUUUACUGGAGGAAAGUACUUUGCUAAAAACUUCUGCGCUAGACCAUCCCAUGUAGUGAUUGUUCCAGCAGGGAGUGAGUUCAACCACUCUUUUGCUUUAUCCCUCAGUGAGAACGGAAAAAGCCUUAGCCUGAUAGCAUUGUCUGAAACACCAUUUUGCUUAAAUGUGUCACAAAUUUCUAAAAAAUUUGCAAUAUGAGCAUUUGGAUCAUCAUUUGGCAUCCCAACAAAUUGAACUGAAGUCUGAAUCAUCUGGAUUAUGGCUGGCUUAAUUUCAAAAUUAUUGGCUUGAACGGCAGGGCGUGCAAUGCUUGAACGAGCUCCAUUAACUGUAGGCACAACAUAAUCUCUUAAAGGUCUCGCAUCCUCAUUUCCAUGUAAUGCUUCGUCAGCCAUGAUUAAUUGUUGCUCCUGUAAAACUUCUCUUCUUUCUUUAUUAAGCCUUCUACACGUACGUUCAAUCUCUGGAUCAAAAGGCAAUAAAUCAAAACUUCUUGAACGUCUCAUAAAAUUAAACAAGAAAAAAAAAUAAAAUAAAAUAAAAUUCAAAUUCAAAUUAAACUAAGGUUAGUUGAGUAUUCCCCCUUGUCACGCGGGUGACCCGGGUUCGUUCCCCGGCAACGGCGCCAAAAACUUGAUGCGUAAAUUAGCAAGUGUACUAGUCGGCACAAUUAAUAUAAUGAAGAGUAGAGUAUCGUCCCACAGAGAUUGUAUAUCCUAUUAGUUACCGAAAUUAUUCUAACCCUAAUUUAUUUGAACAAUCGAAUAAGUGAAUUUAUAUUAAAAUUAAAUAAAAUAAAAUAAUUAAAAAUUAAAUAAAGACACAGGCAGUAAUAGAAAUCACCAAGAGAUUAAGACACUAGGACAUCCGAUUUCACCAUAACCAAUCCAAUUUAAUCCUCCAUCUAUGCUAUUAAACUUUACUAUCCAUGUUGACAGUGAAUUUCUCUAAUCCAUUCAAUAUCCUCUCUCGAGUAAUAUUAAAAAUACCUUCACACAUUAACCCACUAUAUCUCUAUGUGAAUUUAAAUAUGCAAAGAUUCAAUAAGUUCCAUGAAAAUUCUUAGAAAAACUGCACAAAUCACGUUGGCACAUCUCUGUCUUUUGUUCAAUUCAUGGCAUUCAUUACACAGAGCAAAAAUACAUAAAUCUCCUCUCGGUCUCAUUAUAUAUCCUCAAAUCAUUCAAAUAUUGGCCAGAUAUUUAAACGAAGAAAGCAAUUAAAAUAAAGGAGAAUUCAAUAAGAUAAGAAUUACCAAGGUUUCAGAAUCCACCACUAUUCAACUAGUAAUUAUCUAAUUAUUAAUUAAUCCCCAAUUUUAGAGUGACAACUCGAAAUCAAUCUUUGUCAUCUCAUGGAUAUAACAAUUAAGCCCAAGUAAUUAAAUCUAAUGUAGGUUCUUUUUCUGCUUAAUAGUAUGACAUCUAAGUGUCCCAUGUAAACGUAUUGAAUAACAAAGAGUCAAAGUUUUCCUAAGUACUCUGUGUAAACAGUUUAAUGAAAGACAUAAAAUCAAAGAUAAUCAUAUAUAAACUUUAUAAAUCCAAGUAUAGAUUUAAUCGAAUAUUAAUCAUAACAAUCAAUAAUGCAUGACAGAAUUGAUGAAAAGAUUUUAAUAACAUCCAAUUAAUCAUGUGAAAUAAAAACUAUAAUCAUCGAAGAACAUAUAUAGGGAAUUAAAUAAAUAAAAAGAUAAUUAUUUCAUUGAAUAGAGUUUCAUCCUUAACCUCAGUAUAAGAAAAUUAGCUAGACAUAUUUGAAUUGAGAGCAACAAAAUAAAUAAAUUCAGCCAUAGGAAGCCGAAAUAUUGCUGCUCUUGCUAUUCUUCUUCUGUUCAAAGCCGAAUUCUGCUUCUUCUCUCUCGCUCUCUGGCAGCUACCUCUCCUUUCAAAAGCCAAAAGCUUAGCUUUCUUAUAUACCCUUUAAAAUGGGCCCCACCUUGUCAAUUCUAAAGCCAAAAGGGUUUGGCCUUUUAUUUGUUUUGCUUCACUCACGUGGGCACUUUGAAUUGUAAUAGGUUUCCUUUUUCCAUUUAUGAAAGCCAAGUGGGGUCCCUUCUUAAAGCUAAAAUCAAUUUCUCUCUUUUGUCCGCAUGUGCAUGAUGAAUUAACUUGUUGAAUUCGGUUCCUUGGCUUGACUUCCACAUGUACGUAUGUCUAAUUCUUUCCAAAAAUCAAUUAAUCUUUAAUGCUUUCAAACUUGAGCUUCUUUAUGCCUUUUUAUCCAUAAUCUCCAAUUAAUCCUAUAUUCAAUAAAAUAAUUCAAUUAAUUAAAAAUAACAAAUGAAAAUAGCUAGUAAUUAUAUAAUUAAGGGUAAAAUAUGUAUAUAAAUUAUGCUCAUCAAAUACCCCCAAACUUAGAUUUUGCUAGUCCUCAAACAAAACUAAAACUUAAAACAAAAAUAAAAAUAACAAAACAAAAAGUAAAUCCUAACUAAACCACUUUCGCAGGUAAUCGCGAUUGCAUUUAGCGUAUGCAACAAGCCUUUAAACCCUUAGGCGGCACUAGUGGACAAGUUGUAGUCUCGUGAGGGCUUCAGUGAUGAUACCCACAAACACCAUUAAAAAAAAUAAAAUAAAAUAAAAUAAAAGGAACAAAAAACUUUAAAUAAAACAUGAAAAUAGCCUCAAAGAUUGCAUAAAUUAUAUAGCUCAAAGAAAAUUUCAAAUAUUGGCAAAGUUUUAACUUUAAUUCAAUAAUCAAUCUCAUCUCUCUUUCGAUUCAUGUAGUGUGUGUGUGAAAUCAAUUCAAUCAAAUUCAUUCCCAAAAUCUUCAACAUCAACAACCUUCGCCUCAAACAAAGAGAAUCGCAGGUCAAACUAAUCUUAUCAUCUUGAUCUCCAAUUUUUUUUUCACAGGCUUUUAUGUGCAUUUUCUUGUGAUUUUUUUUUCAGCACAUGCACUUGAUUUGAUUUUUCUUUUUCUCUUUUUUUUUUCUUCUUCUUUUUUUUAACCAUAGUCAGAAGCUUUCACUCUACCCCUUAAGGUAGCCUUCUUCUCAUGGUAGAUUAUCCUCUACAUACUUGUGGUACAUAGGCCCAAAUUACUCAAGGAUAGCUUCACUCUUAAGGGUUAUAGGUAGCUAUUUCUGAAUUUAGCGCCUGUGUAUACUAUUUUGUAUUGUGGAGAUAAGAAUCAAGACAAACAGUCAUUUACUCUAUCUAAAAUUCUUAACUCAGGCUGCGUCAAUCUCAAAUUUCAAGUCCAAAUUACAAAAGAACGACCUAAUUGCAAGAAACUUGGGAGGCAACCCAAGCUUUCUAAACUUUAUUAUUGUCAUUUUUUUUCUUUUUUUUCUUUUUUUUUUCUUUUCUUUUACUUAUUUUGUUUUGUUUUAGGAUUUUGCACAAGUUUGAGGGUCAAUGAACAUCAAUUUUCCACAUGCCUUUCAACGACUCAGCUACAACUUUACAUCUUCAAGUGCAAAACCAGGGGAAUUUUCUCUUUUCCUUUUCUUUUUCUUUACAUUGAGGACAAUGUUUAUUUUAAGUUUGGGGGUGGGAAUAUUUUCUUUCAUUUUUUUCAUAAAAAAAAAAGAAAAGAAAAAAGAAGAAGAGAUUUUAAUGCCUAUGAUGAGUUUAUGAUUGAAAAUGAAUAUGGUUUUUAGAAAGGGAUGAAUAUUGUCUUAGUUUAUACUUGAUUCUUGUGUUAGUUUCGUCUUGAUUGAGAUUCUUUAAAUAUCUUGCGCACUUAUAUCGAUUCUUUCAGAAUUUUGACUUGAGAUUUGAGAUUGAUACAGCCUAAGUUGAGAAUUUUAGAUUGAGUAAAUAAUUGUUUGCCUCUGUAACUAAUGGGAUAUACAAUCUCUGUGGGACGAUACUCUACUCUUCAUUAUAUUACUUGCGCCGACUAGUACACUUGCUAAUUUACGCAUCAGACACCCGAUUGCGAAGAGGCUUUCUAAGAACUGAAGGGGUACCUCGUGAAUGCUCCACUACUUGCCAAACAUGAGCCGGGAGAGGGGCUUCUGUUGUAUCUCGCUGUAUCCGAGCAUGCCACCAGCUCCGUGUUACUCCGAGAGGAUGAUAAUGGGAUACAACGACCUAUUUACUACACUAGUAAGGCUAUGGUUGAUGCCGAAAAGAGGUACCCCACCUCUGAAAAGAUCGUUUUGGCAUUGGUUGUCUCCGCACGGAAGCUCAGACCAUAUUUUCAAGCUCACACCAUUGUAGUCGUCACCAACCUUCCCCUCCGGCAAAUCCUCCAGAAGUUAGACAUGUCCGGAAGGCUUCUCUGAUGGUCCCUCGAAUUAGGCGAGUUUGAUAUCAUCUUCAAGCCUCGAUCGGCGAUUAAAGCCCAAGCCAUCGCUGAUUUCAUUGCGGAAUUUGCCAAUGACUUAAGUGGUGAAGGUGAUCUGAGGUACCUGUCAGAUACCCCAUCCACCGACGAAGGGGACAAGUCUGGGAAAUAUAUGUAGAUGGUUCCUCUAACUCACACGGAAGUGGUGCGGGAGUUAUUAUAAUCGACCCGAACAAGGUGAAAAUAUGCUACGCUUUGCAAUUUGGAUUCAAGGCUUCAAACAAUGAAGCCGAAUACGAGGCCAUUAUAGCAGGGUUGAGGAUGUCGAAGGCUUUGGGAGCAAAGAGGGUACACAUCAAGAGCGACUCCCAGUUGGUGGUAAGCCAAAUUACUGAACAAUAUCAAACGAAAGAGGAAAACAUGAAGGGGUACCUCAGAAAAAUCAGAGAAUUGAUGUCCCAAUUUUGCGAGGUUAAGGUGGAAAGGGUACUGUUGAGUGUUAGAAAAUGCAUAUUUAUAAAGGAGAAAACCGUCAUUUUACAUUUCAAGUCUUACUAACAACCUUUACUUUUAUGUAUUUAACAUUCUUGUGAUUUAAUUACGUGUGUUUUAUUUUAAUUAAGUAAUUUAUGUAUUUUAGGGGCAUUAUAGUCAUUUCAUAAUAAAGGAGAGAUCAGACGGCAAAACGGACAUCACUUUUGAACUCAGGACGGUCGAAAACCUUAGGAGGAGCAUAAAAGGAAAAAUGAUACUAUUCACAUGUACGGUACUAUUCACGUACACGGUACUGUAUACGUUACUGUUCACGGCACUGUUCACAUAGACGGAUCGAUGACGUGGCAUUGACCGAUGAUGUGGCAUUGACUGAUGAGGUGUCACGAUCCUAUUGGGCUAAAAUUCUUAUGUACUGUUGAUGGUGACGUGGCAGUAUAUCAGUGGACGAAAAAUCUCGCGUACGGCGCAUGCAUCACACAGGAUUAGUUUCAACCAAACCGCGUUACUGUUCAUCCGGGUCAAACCGCGUUACUGUUCAAAGUCGGGUCAAACCGUGUUACUGUUCAUCCGCGUGGUCAAACCGUGGACUGUUGACUGAUGACGUGGCGCAAUCCUGAGCGUCCAAACUGUUUUUAAUCCGAUGGCCAUGAUUUACUCCAUGUAUCUAUAAAAAGGGGGCCUCUCCCCCCUAAUUUGAUAUCUCUGAAUCCAUUUUUGGGAUCCAUUUUCUGUAAUUCCUUCUCCAUCUUGUAUUUUCUUUGUAUUUUAAUAAAUUCCCAUUUUGCCCCUAGUUCAAUUAUGAGUAGCUAAUUUCCUUUCAAGCUUGGGUUGAAGGUGAAGUCUCAACAUGUGUCAUGGGCUUUAUUUGGUAAAUUUAUUUUCUUUUCCCCUCUAGUUUUUGUGGAUGAUUUGACUUAUCGUCGACAAAUAAUACUGAUCUUGUCUAGAUACCGCCUUGGUUACACCGGCUCUCUAGUAUAAGGUUAUUAUUAUUUGGCACGAUAAGCCCUUAGCACCAUAUUGAUUAGAGCGUAGUUCAUGAGGUGUGGAUUCCCCCCUCAUGAUUUAAUUGGCAUUAAUACGGAUUAUUUAGCCCAUGAUGCAUGUUGAUACGGAUCCAGAUACCCAAGUACGUCAUUUCAAUACAUUUCUCUUCAAUUUAUUCUCGCCAUUGCAAUUCCAAUUUUAGAAUUUAUUCUCGCCAUUUUAAUUUAAGUUUUAGCAUAUUCUUAAUCAUUUCCACCACAGAUCCAAUCAACCAUUUGCAAAAUUAAUUCUAUACACAAUUAAAAUCCACCUCCUCGUGGGAUCGACACUCGUCACCAUUGAUCUAUACUACAAUAGAUUCGUGCGCUUGCGAGUACAUUAAAAUUUACACAACAAGUUUUUGGCGCCGUUGCCGGGGAGGUAAGUAGUUUUAAUUCAUAGAAUUAAUUUUUGUGAAUAAUUUCUUUUAUUUGUUUUCUUGUAUUUUUUUUAUUAUUAAAAAAAAAAGAAAAAAAAAAGUAAAUCUACAUUUAAAGGUUAGUAUUUCUUUUCUUUUUCCCUUCUUUAAAAUUCUGUAAUUUAAUUUUCAAUUUAUUUUUUUUCUUUGUAAUUUUUUUUUAUUUUAUUAAUUUAAUUUUUAGUUAAUUUAUUUCACGUAUUUUUUUUUGUGUAUUUUUAUAGAAAGGUUGUAACAGCGUAAUAAGGUUAGUAUCGUAAUUUCUCCCUCUUCUUUAUUUUUAUUUGUUUUGUUCUCAUCUUUAUUUUUUAUUUGUUUUGUUCCCAUCUUUAUUUUUUGUUUUGUUUGCAUCUUUAUUUUUAUUUUAUUUAUUUUGCAUGCAUGGUCGUAGGUCAUUAUUACCUAAUCUUGAACCUAUAGACCUUGAAUUAGAAAAAACACUUCGCACACACAAACACGUUCAAAAUAAAAUGGAUUUACAAGCACCACAGGAGAGGCCAUUUAAGGACUAUUUUAGUCCCUUAGCUAAUUUGAGCACGUCAUGCAUAAGAUACCCAAAUGUAGCUGCUAGGAGUUUUGAAUUAAAACCUAGUGUGCUAAAUUGUCUCCCCACAUUCUAUGGCCUAGAAAAUGAGGACCCAUAUAAUCAUCUGAAUGAUUUUCAUACCAUUUGUCAAACUUUUAAAUAUGAAAAUUUUUCAGACGAUGAUGUUAAACUUAGAUUAUUCCCAUUUUCUUUAAAGGAUAGAGCUCGUUCAUGGUUAAAUACAUUGCCUGCUAAUAGCAUUGCAUCAUGGGAACAAAUGGUUACAAAAUUUCUAAAUAAAUAUUUCCCAGUGCAUAAAACCAAUUCUAUUCGCAGGGAAAUUUCAGAGUUUACCCAGAGAGAGGACGAGCAAUUUUUCGAAACAUGGGAGCGAUUCAAUGGGCUACUCUUGAAGUGUCCACAUCAUGGGUACGAAAAAUGGCAUCAAUGCCAAUACUUUUUGGAGGGAUUAUUGCCGAAUGUGCAAGAAUGGCUAAUGGCAACAAGUGGAGGAGAGCUAAUGUCAAAAAGUGCAUCAGAAAUUUGGGAAUUCUUCCAGCGACAAGCAGAUAAUUCCCAACAACGGAGUCGAUCACUCAGGACUACUAGAAGAAUUAAGGGAGUAAAUGAGGUUCAAAUUGGCGAAUCAACUUCAGGAAUCAAAGAAGUCAAGGAGAUGGUUGAAGGUCUUGCUCGACAAAUAGCAUCGUUAUCGACUGCUAAAUCAACAGAGCCACAUGACCCUGACUCAUAUCCAGAUCAAGCCAAUGCCAUAGGUGUAAUGAGAAAGCCUUCAAAUUACAACCCAUACUCCAACACAUAUAACCCUGGAUGGAGAGACCACCCCAAUUUUUCAUGGUCUCAAGGAUUCCAACAGAAUGGACCAGCAGCUCCAGCUCCACCAAUUUCUCAAAUUCCUCAAGCCUCUCAGCCCCCAUUUAGACCAUACAAUCAGAACCAGAACUACUCUCAACCUAGACCAUGGGAGGAUGCAUUCCAGAAUUUUAAGAAUGUUACUCAUUCUACCAUUGAGCAACAGAAUCGCACCAUUGAUGGACUUCGAAAUGAGUUGAGGGCAGGCUUCAAUUCUCAAGCUCAAUCAGUUUCAAGCCUCGAGAAGAUGGUGGGACAACUCGCUUCUUCAGUUCAGACCUUGGCAAUGACUGUUGAGAAAGGCAAGUUUCCAAGUCAACCAGUGCCUAACCCUAAAGGAGUACAUGAAGCAAGUACCAGUUCACCACAACAGCAUGGAGAGGUCAAAGCAGUAAUGACCUUGCGAAAAGGAAAGGAAGUCGACAACAAAGUAGAGAUGCCGGUGACAAAAGAAAAUCAAAUUGUACAUGUGAAUGUUGAGGACUCACCACCGGAGGAGAAAGAAGAAACCAACCCACGAGAGUACGUUCCCAAAGCUCCAUUUCCUCAGAGGUUAGCUAAAGGGAAAAAGGGAAAAUCCACAGGUGAGAUUCUCGAAAUCUUCAAACAGGUAAGUGUUAACAUCCCUUUACUUGAUGCUAUUAAACAAGUUCCAUCUUAUGCCAAGUUUCUUAAAGACCUUUGUACUAAAAAGAGAAAUAUGCAUGUUCAAAAGAAGGCAUUUUUAACAGAAAACGUUAGUUCUAUACUCCAACAUAAAAUUCCUUUAAAAUGCAAAGACCCAGGCUCCCCCACUAUUUCAUGUAGCAUAGGGAACCACACAAUUGAGAAUGCUUUGUUGGAUUUAGGAGCUAGUGUAAAUUUGUUGCCUUAUUCAGUAUUCGUGAAACUUGGACUGGGAGAAUUACACCCAACUCCAGUGGUGUUACAGCUUGCAGAUCGGUCCAUGAAAAUACCUCGUGGUAUUGUGGAGGACGUGCUUAUCCAGGUAGACAAGUUUUAUUUUCCUGUUGAUUUCAUUGUAAUUGACACUCAACCAAUACAGGAUUCAAGGAAGCACAUCCCCAUUAUCUUAGGCCGACCUUUCUUGGCAACUGCGGAUGCUCACAUUCAAUGCAGGACCGGAAAUAUGCAGUUGUCCUUCGGCAACAUGACUAUGGAGCUAAAUAUCUUCAACAUUGCCAAACAACCUCACAGUGCAGAUGAUGGAAUUGUUGAUGUGGAUUUAAUUGAAGCAUUAGUUGAUGAUACUUUUGUUUCAAACCUUAGUGAUGAUCCUUUACAAACAUGUUUAACUCACUUUGGUUUGGAUUUUGAUAUUGACAGAUCGGUCGAAGAAGUCAACGCCCUACUUGACUCAGCACCAUCCAUGGACACUAAUAAAUGGAAGUCAAGAGUUGAACAACUAGCACCAUCAGAAAAGAAACUCAUCCCAUCAUCAGAAUCACCACCGAAACUCGAGCUCAAACCAUUGCCCAACACAUUGGAAUAUGCAUUUUUGGGAGAAGAAAGUACUUUGCCGGUAAUCAUCUCAUCAUCCCUAAAUGACGAACAAAAAGGUAAGUUGUUGGAUGUUUUAAAAGAGCACAAAGGAGCAUUAGGAUGGACCAUAGCAGACAUUAAAGGUAUAAACCCAGUAGACUGCAUGCAUUACAUUCACCUUGAUGAAAAUGCUAAAACUACUAGGGAGAUGCAACGUCGGUUAAAUCCUAAUAUGAAAGAAGUUGUUAGAACUGAAGUCCUUAAGCUAUUAGACGCAGGUAUCAUUUACCCAAUUUCUGAUAGUUCAUGGGUCAGUCUUGUACAAGUUGUCCCCAAAAAGUCAGGAGUCACAGUAGUUACGAAUGCCGAUAAUGAAUUGAUACCAACUAGAGUGACUACAGGAUGGCGUGUAUGCAUUGAUUAUAGAAAGUUGAAUUCUGUCACACGUAAAGACCAUUUUCCUUUACCAUUUAUUGAUCAAAUGCUUGAUAGAUUAGCAGGCCAUGAAUUUUAUUGCUUUCUAGAUGGCUACUCAGGAUAUAAUCAGAUUCCCAUAGCACCAAAAGAUCAAGAGAAAACUACUUUCACUUGCCCUUUUGGCACAUUUGCAUAUAGGAGAAUGCCAUUUGGAUUAUGUAAUGCACCUGCUACAUUUCAACGAUGCAUGUUGAGCAUUUUUUCUGAUAUGGUUGAACGAUUCCUUGAAGUCUUUAUGGAUGAUUUUUCUGUCUUUGGUGACUCGUUUGAUCAAUGUUUACAUCAUCUAACGCUAGUUCUGCAGAGAUGUACCGAGAAGAACUUAGUCUUGAAUUGGGAGAAGUGCCAUUUUAUGGUAAAACAAGGUAUUGUUCUCGGUCACAUCAUUUCGAGCAAAGGUAUUGAGGUUGACAAAGCCAAGGUGGAUCUCAUUUCUAAUCUUCCUCCACCUAAAAUAGUCAGAGAAGUAAGAUCUUUCCUUGGGCAUGCUGGUUUCUAUAGACGUUUCAUUAAAGAUUUUAGCAAAGUUUCUAGACCCUUAUGCAAUUUACUUGCUAAGGAUGUACCUUUUAUCUUUAAUGAUUCAUGUCUCAUGGCGUUUGAAAAAUUAAAGCAAUUGUUGACAUCAUCACCCAUCAUUCAGGCCCCAAACUGGAGCUUACCAUUUGAGCUCAUGUGUGAUGCAUCUGAUUAUGCAGUAGGAGCAGUAUUAGGACAAAGAGUUGAUCGAAUUCCUCAUGUUAUUUACUAUGCUAGUAUGACAUUGAAUGAUGCACAGUUGAACUAUUCAACUACUGAAAAAGAAAUGCUAGCAGUAGUGUUUGCAUUGGAAAAAUUUCGAUCUUAUCUCAUUGGUUGUAAAAUAAUUGUGUUCACAGAUCAUGCUGCUCUUAAAUAUCUUCUCACAAAGAAAGAUGCAAAAGCUAGACUAAUUCGUUGGGUAUUACUUUUGCAGGAGUUUGACUUGGAAUUCAAAGAUAAGAAAGGCACAGAGAAUAUUGUGGCGGACCACCUCUCUCGUCUCCAUUUUGACACAAUAACAGAGCCAUUAAUAUUGAAUGAGUCAUUCCCAGAUGAACAAUUAAUGAGUGUGGAAGUAUUACCUUGGUAUGCUGAUAUAGUUAAUUAUCUUGUUACAGGUAAACUUCCAGAGCAUUGGACCAAGCAAGACAAGGCUAAAUUCUUUGCAGAGAUAAAGAAUUUCUUUUGGGAUGACCCAUAUUUGUUCAAGUAUUGUGCAGACCAAAUUGUUAGACGAUGUGUCCCUGAAAAUGAAAUUCAGAAUAUUCUUUCAUUCUGCCAUGAAGAAGCUUGUGGAGGCCAUUUCAGUGCUAAGAAAACGGCGACUAAAGUUUUACAAUGUGGUUUUUAUUGGCCAACUAUAUUUCGAGAUGCUUACACUUUCUGUUCUUCAUGUGAUAGGUGUCAACGAAUGGGGAGCAUUACACGAAGGAACAUGAUGCCACUAAAUCCAAUUUUAGUGGUUGAGAUUUUUGACGUCUGGGGUAUUGACUUCAUGGGACCUUUUCCCCCUUCUUUUGGCCAUCAAUACAUAUUGGUUGGUGUUGACUACGUCUCAAAAUGGGUGGAAGCAAUUCCAUGUAGGACCAAUGAUCACAAAGUGGUGAUAGGAUUUUUGAAAAGCAACAUUGUUUCACGCUUUGGAUUCCCUCGAGCAAUAAUCAGUGAUGGUGGUGCCCACUUUUGUAACAAAGCAUUCAAAGCUCUUUUGACAAAGUAUUCAAUCACACACAAAGUGGCGACCCCGUAUCAUCCGCAAACCAGUGGCCAAGUUGAAAUCUCCAAUCGAGAAAUAAAGCACAUAUUAGAGAAGACGGUGAGGCCAGACAGGAAAGAUUGGUCAUUAAGACUUGAUGAUGCAUUAUGGGCAUAUAGAACGGCUUUCAAGACCCCGAUUGGGAUGUCACCCUACAGGCUAGUGUAUGGAAAAGCUUGCCACCUACCUGUAGAACUCGAGCAUCGUGCAUAUUGGGCCAUCAAGAAAUUCAACUUUGACAUGCAGCAAGCCAGCUCAGAAAGAAGAUUACAACUGGCAGAACUUGAAGAAAUUCGCAAUGAUGCAUACGAAAAUGCCAGAAUUUACAAGCAACGAAUGAAAGUCUUUCAUGACAAGCACAUUAUGAGAAAAUCUUUCACUCCAGGUCAGAAAGUGCUUUUAUUCAAUUCUCGCUUGCACCUAUUCCCAGGUAAGUUACGCUCUCGUUGGUCUGGUCCAUUUAUUGUUCAUACUGUUUUUCCACAUGGGGCAAUUGAAAUUAAAGACCCAAAGAACGGUGUCACGUUUAAAGUCAAUGGUCAAAGAUUAAAGCCAUAUUUAGAGUACCAAGCACAUGGAGAAGACACCGAAAUAAAUUUGAGUGACCCACCAGAUUUGAAUUGAUUUUUUUUUUCUCUUCGUUGAUUUGAUUUUUCUUUCUUUCUUUUUAUUUGUUAAUUGAAAUUAUUUUUGCAUAAGUGUGUUUGUUUUUCCAUUAAGUUUUUUUUUCUUAUCAUUGUUAAUCAUGAGUACCAUACUUAGACCAUUCCUCCUGAACAUUCUUAAACCAUUUCAACGUGUCAAAACUCAUCUCAUAAGGCAGAUUCAAUUUUGUAAAACACAUCGUAUUUGGGCUCUACAACCACCAGAGUUAGUAGCCUAUGUUGAGGGUUUAGAAAGCCAACUCAGAGAUAUUGAGAGAAGUGUUUACGACAUCCAGUUGGAGCUUGAGGUAAAUUCAAUAAGAGGACGAUUUUAAUUUUCUUUGUGUGUUUUAAUUUGUUUUUCUGUUUGUGUGCUUUAGUUUGUUACCCCGGUGAAGUGGCGGAUAACGGUACUCCGUGACAAUCAAGUCGGUUACUUCAGUUUCCCAUAAUAACUGAUAUUCUGAGGCGAAGGUAUGGACAGAAACGAAAUUCUAGCAAAGCUUCACAAGCGAUUCCCUUCACUCCCUCAGAAUGCCCUCCUUACGAUCUAUAAAGCCCGAUCUGAACGCAUGCGAUUACUCAUGAGGAAUAACAUACCUGCAGACAUCCGUUGGUUAAUCGAGGCUAAAGUACGAUUGGCAGGUGAGUUACCUCCUAAAUUUAUUGCAUACAUGCCUGGUUGUGGUAAAGGAAAUUAUGCAAGAAAACGACGAGCUCGAAGAAUUUAUGUUGCUUGUCACAAGUGUGCCAGAAUGAGUUGCGAUAGAAACCCAUGUUCUUUAGGAAUGAUGUCUGAUAACAGAGAAGAUAAGAUUCAAUUCAUUAGGGAUGGCUUGAAUAAGGAGUCAUUGGAUGAUAUCCUUUUGUCUCUUGAAACGCAUCCCAGUGGAUAUGUGCAAGGAGCGAUUCUCCAUUUAUGGCCAUUAUUCCAGAAAGAGCAUGCACGAUAUAGUCUCGGGAAUCUGACUAUAAACGACCCUGUUUGCCGGUUUAUAAGAAAACUGGAUGGGAAGCCUAUCCUUGACCCAUAGAGGGCGUUCAAGCCGUUUCUGGACGUAAAACCAGAGGAAGAUGUGAGCCACAGUCGCAACUACGUGUAAAUAUCCUUUUACUUUACUGUUAUUUUAUUUCAUUUCACUGUUGUUUUAUUGUUUGCAUUAUUGUCUUUAAUAAUUUUAUUACUGUUUGCUUUUUCCUUUUUACUGUUUCCUUUUUGACUCGCGAGCCAUGUGCUUCACGCGUUAUUUGACACUAACAUGUUACCUCAUUCACAGCUGUGACCCACUAUCACCAAGAUUCUUAAAUGUGAUUUCUUUUGUCAAACACUCACAAAUUAUUUUUGAGAAAUAUUCCAAUGGCAGCUACUCCCAAUAGACAAUUCAAGAACAUUUGUGUGCUUUCUGGAUUUACCUAUGGCAAACAUAAAGAGUUCGUUGAGGCAGCCAUAGAUCUUGGUCGAAGCAUAGCAGCGAGAAAUUUACAUUUGGUGUAUGGAGGAGGUAACCGAGGGUUAUCAAAAAUGGUCUCAGAAGCAGCUUUUAUCAGAGGAAGCCAAGUGUUAGGCAUCAUCCCAAGAAUCCUAAAACCAUUGGGCAGCUCGUCUGACUCAUCAACUGGAGAAGAGUUAGUCGUCUCAGGUAUGCAAGAACGAAUAACUGAAAUGCUUAAUCAUGCUGAUGCUUUUAUUUUCCUUCCAGGAGAUCUUGCAACACUAGAGGCACUUAUGACACUAGCAUCUUGGGCCCAUCUGCACAUUCACCAGAAACCCAUCGGUUUGUUAAAUGUCAAUAACUUUUAUGAUGGCUUUAUCGCAUUUCUUAACCAUGCAAUAAAAAACUAUUUCAUUCCUUCUAAUGUGAAAAAACUCUUUAUUUGUGCUCACACUGCUAAUGAGCUACUUGAUAUGUUACAAGCUUAUAAACUGGAGCCAGACCCCUGGACCUUUGUGUUGGAGCGACCAAAUAAUGAUGGUAACAGUAGCCGCAGUAAGAAGUACAAAUUAGAUUUAACUCUCCGCCUGUAAAUAUUUUCUUCUGUGUUGCACCACCCAGGUGAUGUCUUCUAAACUCUACUUCUUUCCUUUCAAACAUUGAGGACAAUGUUUCGUUCUGGUUGGGGGGAGGGAAUAGUCGACAAUUGUGGAAUCUUGGUUAAGUUUUUACUGAUUUUUUGUUGUAGAAACUAACUGUUGCUAACGUUUUAUGUUGAAGAUGGCUGAAUAUGGAGUGUAGUUACUCUAGAAACGCAUCUUCAUCGUUAAAAAAAAAAAAAAAACAAAAAACAAAAAAAAACAAAAAAAAAAAACAAAACUGUUUUCUUCCUUUUUCUCCUUUAUAAAUAUAUAUUUUCCAAUUUUUGAGUCGAAGAUGGCUGAAUAUGGAGUGUCGUGCCUCUAGAAACGCAUCUUCUUAGUUAAAAAAAAAAAAAACAUUUCUUUUUCUAAUAAAUUUUUCUACAUCAUUUUCACAUUUCUGCAUGCAUAUUUUCCUUUCAUGUUUAGAAUAGGUUGGGGGGUAGAAUGUUGUUAAAAAAAAAAAAAAAAAAUUGUGUUAUUUGUUUUAACAUUGGAUGACAUGAUUAAUUUCAAAUUUUAGUAUUUGUAUUAUCUUUGGUCUUAAGUGAUGUUACGCUAUGUUUGCUACUUUACAUGUUGAUGUCGGAGACAAAUAUGAGUUGCUUGAAGGAAUGAACAUGUCAUAAAUAAGUGCCAAGUGAGUUGUUGAGCCUAUCAUUUUCUUGGAGAGUAACCCUUUUGCCCAUUCUCUAUACAGCUUAGCAGUUUAUUAUUUUAUACACGAUCUCUAGAUUUCUUUUAAGUUAACCCUUUAAAAAAAAAUGGUAAAAUUAAAAAAAAAAGAAAAAAGAAAAAAAUGUGUGUUGCUACAUUGGGAGGCCCAUUUAACUAGUAGAUAUGGAUAAUUAUUUAGAGCCCUAAAAGACGAUGGAAAGGCCAUCUUUGAUCCGUUUGAGCCUUUCUAGCCAUCCCUUUUAUUAAAUAUCCAUAGUUACCCCUUUUGAGCCUUUAAAAAAAAAAAAAAAAAAAGAACAAAAACCUUUUCUUUGUCAACUUAUCAUCUUGACCCACUCCGAUUUGGAGUAUUACCCAAUGUCUUUUAAGUUCCAUCACCUAUUUAUGUUUGAGAAAAUGUAAAUAAUUAUGUUGUUCAGUGAAGUUAUGCCAAAUAAAAGCAAAAAGAAAAAAAAAACAAAAGUUGUUGUUUCAAAAGAAUAAAAAUAACAAUAAUAGGUGAAAUCCACCUUGCAACUUCCAAAAAAAAAAAAAAAAAAAAAAAAUUCUGCAUUUUUCUCAAACAUACACUUUGUUUUCCUUAUUUCCUUUCUUUGUUAGCCAUAUCCCUAGCCUACGUUACGUCCUAAUAAAAGUCCUUCUUGAUUUUAGGGAACUAUAGUUUGAAGUAGAAGCUAGUUAUAUGGGCUAAAAAGAUGUAGUGAUGCAUAAUAAUAAUAAUAAAAAAAAAAGAUAAAUAAAGUGGGUUGACUAACAUUUUAUUUGACUUGAGAUCGUAUUAUUUCUAAGCUGAGGGCAUAUUUAUUUCAUCUUGGUGAGAGCAUGUGAUAUCAUUUCUUUAUAUUUUCUCUCUCAAUUACCAUUCAUUGGAGUGACUAUGUUUAUUGGGUUUUAAUUUCUUUGUGAGAGUGUCACUACUUCCAGUGAGAUUUUGGGGUUUGACAUGUCAUUCUUGAAAGUAGCUAUAACAAAGUCUACUGGGCUAAUUCAUGUGGAUGGUUGAUGUGGGUGUGAUGUUGCUUUAGACUGGAGAUAAUGCUUAUACUUUUAUUUGAUUGCUAUCAUUAAUCUGAUUGAAUAAACACAAGUGUUUCUAUUAAAAAUAUAUAUAUAUAUUUUGAAUUUGAAUUUUGUUUUCGCUUUAUUUGCUAGGGACUAGCAAUAAGCUGGUUGGGGAGUGUGUUGAGUGUUAGAAAAUGCAUAUUUAUAAAGGAGAAAACCGUCAUUUUACAUUUCAAGUCUUACUAACAACCUUUACUUUUAUGUAUUUAACAUUCUUGUGAUUUAAUUACGUGUGUUUUAUUUUAAUUAAGUAAUUUAUGUAUUUUAGGGGCAUUAUAGUCAUUUCAUAAUAAAGGAGAGAUCAGACGGCAAAACGGACAUCACUUUUGAACUCAGGACGGUCGAAAACCUUAGGAGGAGCAUAAAAGGAAAAAUGAUACUAUUCACAUGUACGGUACUAUUCACGUACACGGUACUGUAUACGUUACUGUUCACGGCACUGUUCACAUAGACGGAUCGAUGACGUGGCAUUGACCGAUGAUGUGGCAUUGACUGAUGAGGUGUCACGAUCCUAUUGGGCUAAAAUUCUUAUGUACUGUUGAUGGUGACGUGGCAGUAUAUCAGUGGACGAAAAAUCUCGCGUACGGCGCAUGCAUCACACAGGAUUAGUUUCAACCAAACCGCGUUACUGUUCAUCCGGGUCAAACCGCGUUACUGUUCAAAGUCGGGUCAAACCGUGUUACUGUUCAUCCGCGUGGUCAAACCGUGGACUGUUGACUGAUGACGUGGCGCAAUCCUGAGCGUCCAAACUGUUUUUAAUCCGAUGGCCAUGAUUUACUCCAUGUAUCUAUAAAAAGGGGGCCUCUCCCCCCUAAUUUGAUAUCUCUGAAUCCAUUUUUGGGAUCCAUUUUCUGUAAUUCCUUCUCCAUCUUGUAUUUUCUUUGUAUUUUAAUAAAUUCCCAUUUUGCCCCUAGUUCAAUUAUGAGUAGCUAAUUUCCUUUCAAGCUUGGGUUGAAGGUGAAGUCUCAACAUGUGUCAUGGGCUUUAUUUGGUAAAUUUAUUUUCUUUUCCCCUCUAGUUUUUGUGGAUGAUUUGACUUAUCGUCGACAAAUAAUACUGAUCUUGUCUAGAUACCGCCUUGGUUACACCGGCUCUCUAGUAUAAGGUUAUUAUUAUUUGGCACGAUAAGCCCUUAGCACCAUAUUGAUUAGAGCGUGGUUCAUGAGGUGUGGAUUCCCCCCUCAUGAUUUAAUUGGCAUUAAUACGGAUUAUUUAGCCCAUGAUGCAUGUUGAUACGGAUCCAGAUACCCAAGUACGUCAUUUCAAUACAUUUCUCUUCAAUUUAUUCUCGCCAUUGCAAUUCCAAUUUUAGAAUUUAUUCUCGCCAUUUUAAUUUAAGUUUUAGCAUAUUCUUAAUCAUUUCCACCACAGAUCCAAUCAACCAUUUGCAAAAUUAAUUCUAUACACAAUUAAAAUCCACCUCCUCGUGGGAUCGACACUCGUCACCAUUGAUCUAUACUACAAUAGAUUCGUGCGCUUGCGAGUACAUUAAAAUUUACACAACAGGUACCCCAACUGGAGAACAGCGAAGCCGACACUCUGGCAAAAAUGGCGUCCCUUGGUGUAGCUCAGUCAGCUGGCCCCAUCACGACAGAACACAUACCCACCCCCAGCAUUGAUCUCCUAGAGCUGUUGGAAGUAGGAUCACUGUCCAAUGAGGUACUUUGGAUGGAGCCUAUCAUAAGGUACCUCAAGGACGGAGACCUCCCCUCAGAUAAAAGUGAAGUAAGAAGGCUAAAGUAUAAAGCUGCGCGGUACUGCCUGAUCCAAGAUACCCUAUACAGAAGAGGGUUCACUCUUCCUUACCUUAAAUGCUUGGGAAGUGACGAGGCCGAGUAUGUCAUGAGGGAGAUACAUGAGGGGAUUUGUGGCAAUCACUAUGGAGCACAAUCACUGGCGCAAAAAGCUCUCCAUCAGGGGUACUACUGGCCUACCAUGCAGGAAGAUGUCAAGAAUAUGGUACGAAACUGUGACAAAUGCCAAAGGUUCGCCAGGGUACCCCACAUACCCUCAGAGAAGCUAACAGUUAUAUCUUCCCCUUGGCCCUUCGCUAUAUGGGGAGUGAACCUCAUUGGCCCAUUACCUACCGGGAAGGGACAAGCAAAACAUACAAUCGUGGCGGUAGAUUAUUUCACAAAGUAGGCGGAAGCAGAGCCACUAACAAGCAUCACAGAAAGGAAAACCACGGAAUUCAUUUGGAAGAACCUCAUUUGCAAAUUUAGGAUCCCCUAUGCAAUUGUUAGUGAUAACGGCAAGCACUUCGAUAAUGAAAAAUUUCGAAGUUUUUGUUCGGAGCUUGGGAUAGCCAACCAAUUUGCUACACCUGCCCAUCCCCAAUCUAUUGGGCAAGUCGAAGCCGUUAACUGUUGUGCAAAUUUUAAUGAACUCGCAAGCGCACGAAUCUAUUGUAGUGUAGAUCAAUGGUGACGAGUGUCGAUCCCACGAGGAGGUGGAUUUUAAUUGUGUAUAGAAUUAAUUUUGCAAAAUGGGUGGUUGGAAUUGUGGUGGAAGUGAUUUAAAAUAUGCUAAAAUUGGAAUUGCAAUGGCGAGAAUAAAUUGUAGAGAAAAUCGAUUAAAUUGACGUACUUGGGUAUCUGGAUCCGUAUCAACAUGCAUCAUGGGCUAAAUAAUCCGUAUUAAUGCCAAUUAAAUCAUGAUGGGGGAAUCCACACAUCAUGAACCACGCUCUAAUCAAUAUGGUGCUAAGGGCUUAUCGUGCCAAAUAAUAAUAACCUUAUACUAGAAAGCCGGUGUAACCAAGGCGGUAUCUAGACAAGAUCAGUAUUAUUUGUCGACGAUAAGUCAAAUCAUCCACAAAAACUAGAGGGGAAAAGAAAAUAAAUUUACCAAAUAAAGCCCAUGACACAUGUUGAGACUUCACCUUCAACCCAAGCUUGAAAAGAAAUUAGCUACUCAUAAUUGAACUAGGGGCAAAAUGGGAAUUUAUUAAAAUACGAAGAAAAUACAAGAUGGAGAGGGAAUUACAGAAAAUGGAUCCCAAAAAUGGAUUCAGAGAUAUCAAAUUAGGGGGGGGAGGCCCCCUUUUUAUAGAUACAUGGAGUAAAUCAUGGCCAUCGGAUUAAAAACAGUUUGGACGCUCAGGAUUGCGCCACGUCAUCAGUCAACAGUCCACGGUUUGACCACGUGGAUGAACAGUAACACGGUUUGACCCGGAUGAACAGUAACGCGGUUUGGUUGAAAAUAAUCCUGUGUGAUGCAUGCACCGUACGCGAGAUUUUUCGUCCACUGAUAUGCUGCCACGUCACCGUCAACAGUACAUAAGAAUUUUAGUCCAACAGGAUCGUGACACCUCAUCAGUCAAUGCCACAUCAUCGGUCAAUGCCACGUCAUCGAUCCGUCUUUGUGAACAGUGUCGUGAACAGUAACGUAGACAGUACCGUAUAUGUGAAUAGUACCGUACAUGUGAAUAGUGCCAUUUUUCCUUUUAUGCUCCUCCUAAGGUUUUCGACCGUCCUGAGUUCAAAAGUGAUGUCCGUUUUGCCGUCUGAUCUCUCCUUUAUUGUGAAAUGACUAUAAUGCCCCUAAAAUACAUAAAAUACUUAAUUAAAAUAACACACACGUAAUUACAUCACAAGAAGGUUAAAUACAUAAAAGUAAGGGUUGUUAGUAAGACUUGAAAUGUAAAAUGACGGUUUUCUCCUUUAUAAAUAUGCAUUUUCUAACACUCAACACACCCCCCAACCAGCUUAUUGCUAGUCCCUAGCAAAUAAAGCGAAAACAAAAUUCAAAUUCAAAAUGAUUUUUUUUUUUUUUUUUUUGAAACACUCGUGUUUAUUCAAUCAGAUUAAUGAUAGCAAUCAAAUAAAAGUAUAAGCAUUAUCUCCAGUCUAAAGCAACAUCACACCCACAUCAACCAUCCACAUGAAUUAGCCCAGUAGACUUUGUUAUAGCUACUUUCAAGAAUGACAUGUCAAACCCCAAAAUCUCACUGGAAGUAGUGACACUCUCACAAAGAAAUUAAAACCCAAUAAACAUAGUCACUCCAAUGAAUGGUAAUUGAGAGAGAAAAUAAUAAAGAAAUGAUAUCACAUGCUCUCACCAAGAUGAAAUAAAUAUGCCCUCAGCUUAGAAAUAAUACGAUCUCAAGUCAAAUAAAAUGUUAGUCAACCCACUUUAUUUAUCUUUUUUUUUUUUUUUUUAUUAUGCAUCACUACAUCUUUUUAGCCCAUAUAACUAGCUUCUACUUCAAACUAUAGUUCCCUAAAAUCAAGAAGGACUUUUAUUAGGACGUAACGUAGGCUAGGGAUAUGGCUAACAAAGAAAGGAAAUAAGGAAAACAAAGUGUAUGUUUGAGAAAAAUGCAGAAUUUUUUUUUUUUUUUUUUUUUUUUUUGGAACUUGCAAGGUGGAUUUCACCUAUUAUUGUUAUUUUUAUUCUUUUGAAACAACAACUUUUGUUUUUGUUUUUUUUUUUUUUUUUUUACUUUUAUUUGGCAUAACUUCACUGAACAACAUAAUUAUUUACAUUUUCUCAAACAUAAAUAGGUGAUGGAACUUAAAAGACAUUGGGUAAUACUCCAAAUCGGAGUGGGUCAAGAUGAUAAGUUGACAAAGAAAAGGUUUUUGUUCUUUUUUUUUUUUUUUUUUUUUUUUUUUUUAAAGGCUCAAAAGGGGUAACUAUGGAUAUUUAAUAAAAGGGAUGGUUAGAAAGGCUCAAACGGAUCAAAGAUGGCCUUUCCAUCGUCUUUUAGGGCUCUAAAUAAUUAUCCAUAUCUACUAGUUAGAUGGGCCUCCCAAUGUAGCAACACACAUUUUUUUUUUUUUUUUUUUUUCAAUUUUACCAUAUAUAUAUAUUUUUUUAAAGGGUUAACUUAAAAGAAAUCUAGAGAUCGUGUAUAAAAUAAUAAACUGCUAAGCUGUAUAGAGAAUGGGCAAAAGGGUUACUCUCCAAGAAAAUGAUAGGCUCAACUACUCACUUGGCACUUAUUUAUGACAUGUUCAUUCCUUCAAGCAACUCAUAUUUGUCUCCGACAUCAACAUGUAAAGUAGCAAACAUAGCGUAACAUCACUUAAGACCAAAGAUAAUACAAAUACUAAAAUUUGAAAUUAAUCAUGUCAUCCAAUGUUAAAACAAAUAACACAAUUUUUUUUUUUUUUUAAACAACAUUCUACCCCCCAACCUAUUCUAAACAUGAAAGGAAAAUAUGCAUGCAGAAAUGUGAAAAUGAUGUAGAAAAAUUAAUUAGAAAAAGAAUUUUUUUUUUUUUAAACUAAGAAGAUGCGUUUCUAGAGGCACUACACUCCAUAUUCAGCCAUCUUCGACUCAAAAAUUUGAAACUACAUAUUUAUAAAGGAGAAAGAGGAAGAAAACAGGUUUUAUUUAUUUUUUUUUAUUUUUUAUUUUUAAAAACGAUGAAGAUGCGUUUCUAGAGUAACUACACUCCAUAUUCAGCCAUCUUCAACAUAAAAUGUUAGCAACAGUUAGUUUCUACAACAAAAAAUCAGUAAAAACUUAACCAAGAUUCCACAAUUGUCGACUAUUCCCUCCCCCCAACCAGAACGAAACAUUGUCCUCAAUGUUUUAAAGGAAAGAAGUAGAGUUUAGAAGACAUCACCUGGGUGGUGCAACACAGAAGAAAAUAUUUACAGGCGGAGAGUUAAAUCUAAUUUGUACUUCUUACUGCGGCUACUGUUACCAUCAUUAUUUGGUCGCUCCAACACAAAGGUCCAGGGGUCUGGCUCCGGUUUAUAAGCUUGUAACAUAUCAAGUAGCUCAUUAGCAGUGUGAGCACAAAUAAAGAGUUUUUUCACAUUAGAAGGAAUGAAAUAGUUUUUUAUUGCAUGGUUAAGAAAUGCGAUAAAGCCAUCAUAAAAGUUAUUGACAUUUAACAAACCGAUGGGUUUCUGGUGGAUGUGCAGAUGGGCCCAAGAUGCUAGUGUCAUAAGUACCUCUAGUGUUGCAAGAUCUCCUGGAAGGAAAAUAAAAGCAUCAGCAUGAUUAAGCAUUUCAGUUAUUCUUUCUUGCAUACUUGAGACGACUAACUCUUCUCCUGUUGAUGAGUCAGACGAACUGCCCAAUGGUUUUAGGACUCUUGGGAUGAUGCCUAACACUUGACUUCCUCUGAUAAAAGCUGCUUCUGAGACCAUUUUUGAUAACCCUCGGUUACCUCCUCCAUACACCAAAUGUAAUUUUCUCGCUGCUAUGCUUCGACCAAGAUCUAUGGCUGCCUCAACGAACUCUUUAUGUUUGCCAUAGGUAAAUCCAGAAAGCACACAAAUGUUCUUGAAUUGUCUAUUGGGAGUAGCUGCCAUUGUGAUACUUCUCAAAAAUAAUUUGUGAGUGCUUGACAAAAGAUAAAUCACGUUUAAGAAUCUUGGUGACAAUGGAUCACAGCUGUGAAUGAGGUAACAUGUCAGUGUCAAAUAACGCGUAAAGCACGUGGCUCGCGAGUCAAAAAGGAAACAGUAAAAAGGAAAAAGCAAACAGUAAUAAAAUUAUUAAAGACAAUAAUGCAAACAAUAAAACAACAGUGAAAUGAAAUAAAAUAACAGUAAAGUAAAAGGAUAUUUACACGUAGUUGCGACUGUGGCUCACAUCUUCCUCUGGUUUUACGUCCAGAAACGGCUUGAACGCCCUCUAUGGGUCGAGGAUCGGCUUCCCAUCCAGUUUUCUUAUAAACUGACAAACAGGGUCGUUUAUAGUCAGAUUCCCGAGACUAUAUCGUGCAUGCUCUUUCUGGAAUAAUGGCCAUAACCGGAGAAUCGCUCCUUGCACAUAUCCACUGGGAUGCGUUUCAAGAGACAGAAGGAUAUCAUCCAAUGACUCCUUAUUCAAGCCAUCCCUAAUGAAUUGAAUCUUAUCUUCCCUGUUAUCAGACACCAUUCCUAAAGAACAUGGGUUUCUAUCGCAACUCAUUCUGGCACACUUGUGACAAGCAACAGAAAUUCUUCGAGCUCGUCGUUUUCUUGCGUAAUUUCCUUUACCACAACCAGGCAUGUAUGCAAUAAAUUUAGGAGGUAACUCACCUGCCAAUCGUACUUUAGCCUCGAUUAACCAACGGAUGUCUGCAGGUAUGUUAUUCCUCAUGAGCAAUCGCAUGCGUUCAGACCGGGAUUUAUAGAUUGUAAGGAGGGCAUUCUGAGGAAGUGAAGGGAAUCGCUUGUGAAGCUUUACUAAAAUCUCGUUUCUAUCCAUACCUUCGCCUCAGAAUAUCAGUUAUUAUGGGAAACUGAAGUUAACCGACUUGAUUGUCACGGAGUACCGUUAUCCGCCACUUCACCGGGGUAACAAACUAAAGCACACAAACAGAAAAAAAAUUAAAACACACAAAGAAAAUUAAAAUCGUCCUCUUAUUGAAUUUACCUCAAGCUCCAACUGGAUGUCGUAAACACUUCUCUCAAUGUCUCUGAGUUGGCGUUCUAAACUCUCAACAUAGGCUACUAACUCUGGUGGUUGUAGAGCCCAAAUGCGUUGUGUUUUACAAAAUUGAAUCUGCUUUUUGAGAUGAGUUUUGACACGUUGAAGUGGUUUAAGAAUGUUCAGGAGGAACGGUCUAAGUAUGGUACUCAUGAUUAACAAUGAUAAGAAAAAACUUAAUUGUUAAACAAACACACUUAUGCAAAAAUAAUUUCAAUUAGCAAAAGAAUAAUAAAAAGAAAGAAAGAAAAAUCAAAUCAACGAAAAGAAAAAAACAAAUCAAUUCAAAUCUGGUGGGUCACUCAAAUUUAUUUCGGUGUCUUCUCCAUGUGGUUGGUAUUCUAGAUAUGGCUUUAAUCUUUGACCAUUAACUUUAAACGCGACACCGUUCUUUGGGUCCUUAAUUUCAAUUGCCCCAUGUGGAAAAACAGUAUGAACAAUAAAGGGACCAGACCAUCGAGAGCGUAACUUACCUGGGAAUAGGUGCAAGCGAGAAUUGAAUAAAAGCACUUUCUGACCUGGAGUGAAUGAUUUUCUCAUAAUUUGCUUGUCGUGAAAGACUUUCAUUCGUUGCUUGUAAAUCUUGGCAUUUUCGUAUGCAUCAUUGCGAAUUUCUUCAAGUUCUGCCAGUUGUAAUCUUCUCUCUGAGCUGGCUUGCUGCAUGUCAAAGUUGAAUUUCUUGAUGGCCCAAUAUGCACGAUGCUCGAGUUCCACAGGUAGGUGGCAAGCUUUUCCAUACACUAGCCUGUAGGGUGACAUCCCAAUCGGGGUCUUGAAAGCCGUUCUAUAUGCCCAUAAUGCAUCAUCAAGUCUUAAUGACCAAUCUUUUCUGUCUGGUCUCACCGUCUUUUCUAAUAUGUGCUUUAUUUCUCGAUUGGAGAUCUCAACUUGGCCACUGGUUUGCGGAUGAUACGGGGUCGCCACUUUGUGUGUGAUUGAAUACUUUGUCAAAAGAGCCUUGAAUGCUUUGUUACAAAAGUGGGCACCACCAUCACUGAUUAUUGCUCGAGGGAAUCCAAAGCGUGAAACAAUGUUGCUUUUCAAAAAUCCUAUCACCACUUUGUGAUCAUUGGUUCUGCAUGGAAUUGCUUCCACCCAUUUCGAUACGUAGUCAACAGCAACCAAUAUAUAUUGAUGGCCAAAAGAAGGGGGAAAGGGUCCCAUGAAGUCGAUACCCCAUACGUCAAAAAUCUCAACCACUAAAAUUGGAUUUAGUGGCAUCAUGUUCCUUCGUGUAAUGCUCCCCAUUCGUUGACACCUAUCACAUGAAGAACAGAAAGUGUAAACGUCUCGAAAUAUAGUUGGCCAAUAGAAACCACAUUGUAAAACUUUUGUAGCUGUUUUCUUAGCACUAAAAUGGCCUCCACACGCUUGUUCAUGGCAGAAUGAAAUGAUAUUUUGAAUUUCACUUUCUGGGACACAUCGCCUAACAAUUUGAUCUGCACAAUACUUGAACAAAUACGGGUCAUCCCAAAAGAAAUUCUUUAUUUCCGCAAAGAAUUUAGCCUUGUCUUGCUUGGUCCAAUGCUCUGGAAGUUUACCUGUAACAAGAUAAUUAACUAUAUCAGCAUACCAAGGUAAUACUUCCACAUUCAUUAAUUGUUCAUCUGGAAAUGACUCAUUCAAUGGUAAUGAUUCUGUAAUUGUGUCAAAAUGGAGACGAGAGAGGUGGUCCGCCACAACAUUCUCUGUGCCUUUCUUAUCCUUGAAUUCCAAGUCGAAUUCCUGCAAAAGUAACACCCAACGAAUUAGUCUAGCUUUUGCAUCUUUCUUUGUGAGAAGAUAUUUAAGAGCAGCAUGAUCUGUGAAUAUAAUUAUUUUACAACCAAUGAGAUAAGAUCGAAAUUUUUCCAAUGCAAACACUACUGCUAGCAUUUCUUUUUCAGUAGUUGAAUAAUUCAACUGUGCAUCAUUCAAUGUCAUACUAGCAUAGUAAAUAACGUGGGGAAUUCGAUCAACUCUUUGUCCUAAUACUGCUCCUACUGCAUAAUCAGAUGCAUCACACAUAAGCUCAAAUGGUAAGCUCCAGUUUGGGGCCUGAAUGAUGGGUGAUGAUGUCAACAACUGCUUUAAUUUUUCAAACGCCAUUAGACAUGAAUCAUUAAAGAUAAAAGAUACAUCCUUAGCAAGUAGAUUGCAUAAGGGUCUAGAAACUUUGCUAAAAUCUUUAAUGAAACGUCUAUAGAAACCAGCAUGCCCAAGGAAAGAUCUUACUUCUCUGACUGUUUUAGGUGGAGGAAGAUUAGAAAUGAGAUCCACCUUGGCUUUGUCAACCUCAAUACCUUUGCUCGAAAUGAUGUGACCGAGAACAAUACCUUGUUUUACCAUAAAAUGGCACUUCUCCCAAUUCAAGACUAAGUUCUUCUCGGUACAUCUCUGCAGAACUAGCGUUAGAUGAUGUAAACAUUGAUCAAACGAGUCACCAAAGACAGAAAAAUCAUCCAUAAAGACUUCAAGGAAUCGUUCAACCAUAUCAGAAAAAAUGCUCAACAUGCAUCGUUGGAAUGUAGCAGGUGCAUUACAUAAUCCAAAUGGCAUUCUCCUAUAAGCAAAAGUGCCAAAAGGGCAAGUGAAAGUAGUUUUCUCCUGAUCUUUUGGUGCUAUGGGAAUCUGAUUAUAUCCUGAAUAACCAUCUAGAAAGCAAUAAAAUUCAUGGCCUGCUAAUCUAUCAAGCAUUUGAUCAAUAAAUGGUAAAGGAAAAUGGUCUUUACGUGUGACAGAAUUCAACUUUCUAUAAUCAAUGCAUACACGCCAUCCUGUAGUUACUCUAGUUGGUAUCAAUUCAUUAUCAGCAUUGGUAACUACUGUGACUCCUGACUUUUUGGGGACGACUUGUACAGGACUGACCCAUGAACUAUCAGAAAUUGGGUAAAUGAUACCUGCAUCUAAUAGCUUAAGGACUUCUGUUCUAACAACUUCUUUCAUAUUAGGAUUUAACCGACGUUGCAUUUCCCUAGUAGAUUUAGCAUUUUCAUCAAGGUGAAUGUAAUGCAUGCAGUCUACUGGAUUUAUACCUUUGAUGUCUGCUAUGGUCCAUCCUAAUGCUCCUUUGUGCUCUUUUAAAACAUCCAACAACUUACCUUUUUGUUCCUCAUUUAGGGAUGAUGAGAUGAUUACCGGCAGAGUACUUUCUUCUCCCAAAAAUGCAUAUUCCAAUGUGUUGGGCAAUGGUUUGAGCUCGAGUUUCGGUGGUGAUUCUGAUGAUGGAAUGAGUUUCUUCUCUGAUGGUGCUAGUUGUUCAACUCUUGACUUCCAUUUAUUAGUGUCCAUGGAUGGUGCUGAGUCAAGUAGGGCGUUGACCUCUUCGACCGAUCUGUCAAUAUCAAAAUCCAAACCAAAGUGAGUUAAACAUGUUUGUAAAGGAUCAUCACUAAGGUUUGAAAGAAAAGUAUUAUCAACUAUUGUUUCUAUUAAAUCCACAUCAACAAUUCCAUCAUCUGCACUGUGAGGUUGUUUGGCAAUGUUGAAGAUGUUUAGCUCCAUAGUCAUGUUGCCGAAGGACAAUUGCAUAUUUCCGGUCCUACAUUGAAUAUGAGCAUCUGCAGUUGCCAAGAAAGGUCGGCCUAGAAUAAUGGGGAUGUGCUUCCUUGAGUCCUGUAUUGGUUGAGUGUCAAUUACAAUGAAAUCAACAGGAAAAUAAAACUUGUCUACCUGGAUAAGCACGUCCUCCACAAUACCACGAGGUAUUUUUGUGGACCGAUCUGCAAGUUGUAACACCACUGGAGUUGGGUGUAAUUCUCCAAGUCCAAGUUUCACGAAAACAGAGUAAGGCAACAAAUUUACACUAGCUCCUAAAUCCAACAAAGCAUUCUCAAUUGUGUGGUUCCCUAUACUACAUGAGAUAGUGGGGGAGCCUGGGUCUUUGCAUUUUAAAGGAAUUUUAUGUUGGAGUAUAGAACUAACGUUUUCUGUUAAAAAUGCCUUCUUUUGAACAUGCAUAUUUCUCUUUUUAGUACAAAGGUCUUUAAGAAACUUGGCAUAAGAUGGAACUUGUUUAAUAGCAUCAAGUAAAGGGAUGUUGACACUUACCUGUUUGAAGAUUUCGAGAAUCUCACCUGUGGAUUUUCCCUUCUUUCCUUUCGCUAACCUCUGAGGAAAUGGAGCUUUGGGAACGUAUUCUCGUGGGUUGGUUUCUUCUUUUUCCUCCGGUGGUGAGUCCUCAGCAUUUACAGGUACAAUUUGAUUUUCUUUUGUCACCGGCAUCUCCACUUUAUUGUCGACUUCCUUUCCUUUUCGCAAGGUCAUGACUGCUUUGACCUCUCCAUGCUGUUGUGGUGAACUGGUACUUGCUUCAUGCACUCCUUUAGGAUUAGGCACUGGUUGACUUGGAAACUUGCCUUUCUCAACAGUCAUUGCCAAGGUCUGAACUGAAGAAGCAAGCUGUCCCACCAUCUUCUCGAGGCUUGAAACUGAUUGGGCUUGUGAAUUGAAGCCCGCUCUCAACUCAUUUCGUAGUCCAUCAAUGGUGCGAUUCUGUUGCUCAAUCGUGGAGUGAGUAACAUUCUUGAAAUUCUGGAAUGCAUCCUCCCAUGGUCUGGGUUGAGAGUAGUUCUGGUUCUGAUUGUAUGGUCUGAAUGGUGGCUGAGAGGCUUGAGGAACUUGAGGAAUUUGUGGAGCUGGAGCUGCUGGUCCAUUCUGUUGGAAUCCUUGAGACCAUGAAAAAUUGGGGUGGUCUCUCCAUCCAGGGUUAUAUGUGUUGGAGUAUGGGUUGUAAUUAGAUGGCUUUCUCAUUACACCUAUGGCAUUGGCUUGAUCGGAGUAUGAGUCAUGGUCAUGUGGUUCUGUUGAUUUAGCAGUCGAUAACGAUGCUAUUUGUCGAGCAAGACCUUCAACCAUCUCCUUGACUUCUUUGAUUCCCGAAGUUGACUCGCCAAUCUGAACCUCAUUUACUCCCUUAAUUCUUCUAGUAUUCCUGAGUGAUCGACUCCGUUGUUGGGAAUUAUCCGCUUGUCGCUGGAAGAAUUCCCAAAUCUCUGUUGCGCUUUUUGACAUUAGCUCUCCUCCACUUGUUGCCAUUAGCCAUUCUUGCACAUUUGGUAGUAAUCCCUCCAAAAAGUAUUGGCAUUGGUGCCAUUUCUCGUAUCCAUGAUGUGGACACUUCAAGAGUAGCCCAUUGAAUCGCUCCCAUGUUUCGAAAAACUGCUCGUCCUCUCUUUGUGUAAACUCUGAAAUUUCCCUGCGAAUAGAAUUGGUUUUAUGCACUGGGAAAUAUUUAUUUAGAAAUUUUGUAACCAUUUGUUCCCAUGAUGCAAUGCUAUUAGCAGGCAAAGUAUUUAACCAUGAACGAGCUCUAUCCUUUAAAGAAAAUGGGAAUAAUCUGAGUUUAACAUCAUCGUCUGAAAAAUUUUCAUAUUUAAAAGUUUGACAAAUGGUAUGAAAAUCAUUCAGAUGAUUAUAUGGGUCCUCAUUUUCUAAGCCAUAGAAUGUGGGGAGACAAUUUAGCACACUAGGUUUUAGUUCAAAGCUCCUAGCAGCUACAUUUGGGUAUCUAAUACAUGAUGUGCUCAAAUUAGCUAAGGGACUAAAAUAGUCCUUAAAUGGCCUCUCCUGUGGUGCUUGUAAAUCCAUUCCAAUUUUAUUUUUAAUGUGUUUUUGUGUGCGAAGUGUUUUUUCUAAUUCAAGGUCUAUAGGUUCAAGAUUAGGUAAUAAUGACCUACGACCAUGCAUGCAAAAUAAAAAUAAAAAUAAAGAUGGGAACAAAACAAAUAAAAAUAAAUAAGAGGGAGAAAUUACGAUACUAACCUUAUUGCGCUAUUACAACCUUACUAUAAAAAUACACAAAAAUAAAUACGUGAAAUAAAUUAACUAAAAAUUAAAUUAAUAAGAUAAACAAAAAUUACAAAGAAAAAAUAAAUUGAAAAUUAAAUUACAGAAUUUUAAAGAAGAGAAAAAGAAAAGAAAUACUAACCUUUCAAUGUAGAUUUACUUUUUUUUUUUUUUAAUAAAAAAAUACAAGAAAACAAUUUAAAAUAAAUUAUUCACAAAAAUUAAUUCUAUGAAUUAAAAUUACUUACCUCCCCGGCAACGGCGCCAAAAACUUGUUGUGCAAAUUUUAAUGAACUCGCAAGCGCACGAAUCUAUUGUAGUGUAGAUCAAUGGUGACGAGUGUCGAUCCCACGAGGAGGUGGAUUUUAAUUGUGUAUAGAAUUAAUUUUGCAAAAUGGGUGGUUGGAAUUGUGGUGGAAGUGAUUUAAAAUAUGCUAAAAUUGGAAUUGCAAUGGCGAGAAUAAAUUGUAGAGAAAAUCGAUUAAAUUGACGUACUUGGGUAUCUGGAUCCGUAUCAACAUGCAUCAUGGGCUAAAUAAUCCGUAUUAAUGCCAAUUAAAUCAUGAUGGGGGAAUCCACACAUCAUGAACCACGCUCUAAUCAAUAUGGUGCUAAGGGCUUAUCGUGCCAAAUAAUAAUAACCUUAUACUAGAAAGCCGGUGUAACCAAGGCGGUAUCUAGACAAGAUCAGUAUUAUUUGUCGACGAUAAGUCAAAUCAUCCACAAAAACUAGAGGGGAAAAGAAAAUAAAUUUACCAAAUAAAGCCCAUGACACAUGUUGAGACUUCACCUUCAACCCAAGCUUGAAAAGAAAUUAGCUACUCAUAAUUGAACUAGGGGCAAAAUGGGAAUUUAUUAAAAUACGAAGAAAAUACAAGAUGGAGAGGGAAUUACAGAAAAUGGAUCCCAAAAAUGGAUUCAGAGAUAUCAAAUUAGGGGGGGGAGGCCCCCUUUUUAUAGAUACAUGGAGUAAAUCAUGGCCAUCGGAUUAAAAACAGUUUGGACGCUCAGGAUUGCGCCACGUCAUCAGUCAACAGUCCACGGUUUGACCACGCGGAUGAACAGUAACACGGUUUGACCCGGAUGAACAGUAACGCGGUUUGGUUGAAAAUAAUCCUGUGUGAUGCAUGCACCGUACGCGAGAUUUUUCGUCCACUGAUAUGCUGCCACGUCACCGUCAACAGUACAUAAGAAUUUUAGUCCAACAGGAUCGUGACACCUCAUCAGUCAAUGCCACAUCAUCGGUCAAUGCCACGUCAUCGAUCCGUCUUUGUGAACAGUGUCGUGAACAGUAACGUAGACAGUACCGUAUAUGUGAAUAGUACCGUACAUGUGAAUAGUGCCAUUUUUCCUUUUAUGCUCCUCCUAAGGUUUUCGACCGUCCUGAGUUCAAAAGUGAUGUCUGUUUUGCCGUCUGAUCUCUCCUUUAUUGUGAAAUGACUAUAAUGCCCCUAAAAUACAUAAAAUACUUAAUUAAAAUAACACACACGUAAUUACAUCACAAGAAGGUUAAAUACAUAAAAGUAAGGGUUGUUAGUAAGACUUGAAAUGUAAAAUGACGGUUUUCUCCUUUAUAAAUAUGCAUUUUCUAACACUCAACAUUAACAAGAUUAUCAAAGGUAUCCUGAAGAAUAAGCUAGAAGAAAGAAAGGGAGCGUGGGUAGACGAGCUACCUGGGGUUCUGUGGGCCUACCGGACUACUCAAAACACUUCCACCUGGGAGACCCUUUUUUCCCUCGCAUUCGGUGUUGACGCAGUGAUUCCAGUAGAAAUUGAGGUACCCUCUCACAGGGUUGAAUACUUUGAUGAGGCCGAGAACACCUCCUUGAUUGCUUCCAACCUUGAUUUGGCGGCCGAAAAAAGGGCUAGAGCAUAAUUGAGGACAGCCAUAUAUCAACAUCGCAUUUUGGGUCUAUAUGAAAAAAGGGUACGCCAUCGAUCCUUCAAGAAAGGAGACUUGGUCUUGAGAAGGGUAACGCAGAACACUAGGGUACCCUGCGAAGGCACUUUUGGGGCAAAUUGGGAAGGACCUUGAAAUAUAAGUGUGCAACCCAAGAGGGGGGGUGAAUUGAAAUUUUAAAAUUUAUCCUAACAAAUCCACACAACAAGCAAUCUAAUGUCUUAAUAAUAAUUGAAAACAAUAAGUUCAAUAAUAGCACAAUAAUUAAAGAGUAAGGGAGAAGAGAAACAAACACAUGAAUUUUUACGUGGUUCGGCAAUCCCCGCCUAUGUCCACGCCUCCAAGCGAUCCAAGCUCGAGGAUUUCACUAUCCAAGCCUUUCCAAGGCUUCAACGAUUACAAUUGACUUCGAGGUGUCAAUAAACCUUUACAACAAAGAGAUUAUCUCCCAAUCUCUUCACUCAAGUGUCUCACACACUCAAACUCUUACAAAUGAAUUGAAGAAAUGAAAGUUACAAUGAAACUCAGUCAAUGAGUAGAUAUUCAAAGAUGAAGAAUAAUGAAUGAAUCAAUAAUUUGUGUUUUGCAAGUUGAAGGCUCAAGAUAUCACGUGUGCUUUUUGUUUUUGCUUGUUGGAGAGCUUCAAAAUGAGUAGGAUUUGAGUUUAUAUAAUUUGAGCUCAAAAACUAGCCGUUAUGCACAUUUUGGUCGUAACCGGAUUACCGGUUAUGGACAUCCGGAAUUCCGCUUAAUGUUACCGUUACAGCCACAAUUUUGAAUUUCUGAACAUCUGGAUUGCCGCUUUGUCACAUCCGGAUUUCCGCUUAUGCUCAGUAGCUUACUGCCCAACAACCGGAUUUCCGUUUGUCAGGAUCCGGAUUUUCGCUUGCUACAGUAACUGCUACAGUGAUUAUUUUCCCAAAUUUAUAGUUUGACCCCAAAACUUUAUAAAACUGUAGCGUGGCCCAAAACGUUAUGAAAGUUUGCAAAAAGGUCCAAUUUCAGAAUUUUAGAAUAAUGCUUUGUCAAUCCCACAACUUUGUGAAAUUAUAGCAUGGCCCAAAAACAUUUAAAUAGUUUCAAAUAGGUCCAAAUCCGAAAUUUAAAAACACUAUCAAAGAUUUUAAAAAUACUUUCAUUUUAGUCCAAAAUACUUUAAUUUCAUAACAUCAUUUUCUUAUUAUAAAAGCACAAUUCAUAAAUCUUUGCUUAAUAAAUACAUGUGGUUUGUUAUCAUCAAAAUCAAUAUUUAUAGCCAUAUAGGCUAACAAUCUCCCCCUUUUUUAUGAUGACAAAACACAUUAAAAACUUUAAUCUUGUUAUGAAAAAGCUCCCCCUUAAUCAAUGCAAGUUAAAAAAAAUGAUUUGAAAAUUGUUUAACAAAAACUCCCCCUGCAUACAUGCUCCCCUUAGAUACAUGCAUAUUUUCAUAACACAUAUUAAAUCAUUCUCCCCCUUCAUCAUCAAAAAGAAUAAAAGCUCCCUCUAUCAAUUAUCAAAAUCGCAACAUAAGCACAUUAGUAAAAAAAAUAUCCAUAAGCAUAAGAAAAUCCAUAUAAUCCAUAAUGAUCAAUCAAAACAAAUCCAUAACAUCCAACAUAAAUAGUCACAACAAAUCCAUAUCAUCCAACAACAAAACCAUAAACCGAAAAUCAUAAUAACCAUCCAUAGAGUCGAAAAUAAAAGAACACACAAUGCAGUAAAUGAAAUGUAGGUGUGUCCAAAUACAAGCAUAAGAUACUACUCAGGUGGUGAGGAUGGAGGUGAAGGAGGUGGAUACGGAUAUGGAAUGCCGAAGUGCUCGAAGAGAAGGCGCUGUCCAUGAAUGAGCUGCUGCUGCUCCUGCUGAAACUCAGUCUGCCGCAAUGAAAGUGUCCGCACCUCAUCCAUAAGCUGCUGAAGAGUAACAUCUCCAGAGGUAGGAUGACGUGGAGGUGAUGAAACGGAUGCAGAGACAUCAGGAGCUGAAGCUAUCACGGGAGGAUCUCGGCGUCUACGCUGCCCCCGAAAUGAGAGUGAGAAAAUGGGUAGCUGAUCAGCUGGAACCACAGCAUUAAGUGGCCGAUCAUCACUUGGAGCAAUGAAGGUAAACUUGUUUUCACUGUAUUUGACCCAAGUGCCAUCCUUCCACUCAAAGCCUAACCCAAUAAUAACAUCUUCCCCGAUACCCUUAGACGGUCUACAUGAUGGUUCUUUAAUAGGUACAUCAAAAAAUUUCAGGAUUCGGGUAAUGAAAUGACCAUAUGGAAGGGAGCGGGUAAUCAACUUAGGUAUACUGAGCAUGUUUCGGACAAUGGUAUAUCCUAAGUCAACUGGACGAUGUCUAAGAAUACAAUCAAUCAAGGCGACAUCCAUAUGAGAGACCUCAUCCAAAUGGCCUGAUCUAGGAAGGACAAUACUCUGAAUAAAACGAAGUAAUAUCCGAGACUGAAGACAAAGACAUAGGUUGCGAAAAUGGAUAGUACAAUCUUCAUCGGAAAGGUCGACACGGCGACAUAUAUUCUUAACAGCAUCAAUAUAAACAUAGUCAUCAAUGUCAGGAGGUUUCCUAGGUGAAAAAACUUCUAGGCCAUCAUCGGAAGAUCCUAGGAUGGUGUUCAAGUCCGAAUCAUCAAACUCAAUCAAAACUCCUCCAACUGUGGUGAUUACUCGAUUCUCUUUCUCCGCGGAACAAUCCAUAUUCGAGUAAAAUACUUUCACCAAGUCAGGAUAUACAUUUUCCUCAACAACAAGUGCAUUAAGCCAACCAACAUCUUUCAACAAUUGCAAUAAAGUUAUAUUGCUAAUACUAAGAUGAUUCAAACAAUCCAGUAAAACAAAAAAAAGGUUUGGAGUACCUCUCGAGUCAUGAACUGUUGAUGAAAACGUUUGGCUAGAUGUUUCUUGUUCUGAAAAUGUGUGGACUCGAAAUUAGAUUGAUUGGUGAUGCCCCUUGCUUUCCGUGGCCGGUCGGUUUGUUGAACCGGUUCUUUGCCUUUUCUUCGAACCGGCCGUGAACUAGACAAUUGGAUUUGAUUGAUUUGAGGUUAAAAAGGAUAAAGAGAAUGAAGAUGAUGAAGAUUGAAAGUGAUUUUGAGAAACAAUUUGAAUCAAAAACGGCUUAAGAGUGAGAAAUCUAGAGAGAGAAAAAUUCGGAUAAACCCUAGGUUGAAUUUGAGAUCUAGAGUUUUGGAUGUUGAAAAUGAAGUUUAAAGAUGCUUUAGAGUGAAUGAAGUGAUGGGAAAUGAUUUUCUUGAUUCAAUUUGAUGUGAAACAGAUAGAAAAUAAAGGAUUUUCGAGUGAAAAAGAUAGAGAAGCAAACGGUUUUUAGAGAGAGUGAGAGAACCAGAUUUCCGUUUGAAGAGGGAAGAAGAACAGUUGAAAUAGCUUCCGCAACCGGAUUUCCGGUUUUCACUAACCGGAUAGCCGGUUGGGACCAGAAGCUUGAAACCCGAAACCGGCUUGCCGGUUUGACUUGAACCGGAAUUCCGGUUGUGACCAGCAAGGUUCCACGCGAAAAUCGAUUUUCCGGAUAACACGAACCGGCUUGCCGGUUGGAUCCAGAAGAUAGCAAUGCCGGUUUGCCAAAGUCUCGAAUUCGGAUUUCCAGAUUGACAUAACCGGAAAUCCGGUUUUGGUCCAGCAAACCUUCCUUGCGAAUCCGGCUUUCCGGUUUUGCUAAUCGGCAGUCCGGUUUGAGGCAGAAAUGAAGCUUAGGAAAUCCGGUUAUCCGGAAUUUGUCUCGAGAGAAAUCAAUAAGGAAAAAAAAAGUUUUUCCGGAUGAAUAGAAAGGGAAUAUUUGCUAGCUCUUAUACUUGUAUUACACACACCAUUUUAUUUCCGGCCUUAAAAAAAAUUGAUUAAUUUUAAAUCAUUUUGAGAUUUAAAACCUUUCAAUAAGCCAUUUAAUGCAUGCAACAUAAAAUCAUAAAAUCAUAAAAUUACAAGCAUAUCAAGCCAUCUAAUUCAUGAACCAUAAAUCCAUAUAAUAACAAACAUAUCAAGCUAUAUAGUAAAACAUGAAUUAUCAACAUUCAUCAUUCCAAGCUCAUGUCUUAUCUUUAUAAAAUGCUCUUCGCUAAGAGGUUUUGUAAAGAUAUCCGCAAGUUGAUUUUCAGUGGAAACAAAUUUAAUCACAACAUCUCCUUUUUGAACAUGAUCUCUAAGGAAAUGAUGUCUAAUUUCUAUAUGUUUAGUCCUCGAAUGUUGAAUGGGAUUCUUGGAAAGAUUAAUAGCACUAGUAUUGUCACAUAAAAUAGGUAUUUGAUCAAGCUUAAUACCAUAGUCUCUAAGGGUUUGUUUCAUCCAAAGAAUUUGUGCACAACAACUACCUGCGGCAAUAUAUUCUGCCUCGGUGGUUGAAAGCGCAACCGAGUUUUGUUUCUUACUAAACCAAGAGACAAGAGAAUGACCUAGGAAGUGACAUGUUCCACUAGUACUUUUUCUAUCAACCUUAUACCCAGCAAAAUCGGCAUCCGAAUAACAAGUUAAAUCAAUAUGAGUUCCUCUAGGAUACCAAAGGCCAAGAUUAAUAGUGCCAAUUAGAUAUCGAAAAAUGCGUUUGACAGCAAGCAUGUGAGACUCUUUAGGACAAGAUUGAAAUCUAGCACACAAGCAUACACUAAACAUAAUAUCAGGCCUACUAGCAGUCAAAUAGAGUAAGGAUCCGAUCAUACCUCGAUAAGUCUUGAUAUCAACUUCCUUACCUUUCUCAUCUUUGUCCAGUUUGAUGGUAGUACUCAUAGGAGUGCUUUUUGCCGUUCCAUUAUCAUAGCCAAAUCUUUUGAGUAGAUCUUUCACGUACUUGGCUUGGUUUAUGAAAAUUCCUUCCUCGUUUUGUUUGAUUUGAAGUCCAAGGAAGUACUUCAACUCUCCCAUCAUACUCAUCUCAAACCCUUUACUCAUACAUGAUGAAAAAUCUUUACACAACAACUCAUUAGUAGAACCAAAAAUAAUAUCAUCAACAUAAAUUUGAACAAUAAGUAUGUCUUGAUUCUUAUGCUUAACAAAAAGAGUUGUGUCCGCUUUUCCCAUCGAAAAAUCGUUAUCCAACAAGAAGUUUUUAAGCCUAUCAUACCAAGCUCUAGGUGCUUGUUUUAAACCAUACAAAGCCUUGGAUAACUUAUACACAUGAUCUGGAAAUUUUUCAUUUUUACAACCAGGAGGUUGUUUCACAUAAACUUCCUCCAUAAUAUAUCCAUUUAAGAAAGCACUCUUGACAUCCAUUUGAUAUAAAAUAAAAUCCUUGUGACAUGCAUAUGCUAACAACAUCCUAAUGGAUUCUAAUCUUGCUACAGGUGCAAAAGUUUCAUCAAAAUCAAUUCCUUCUUCUUGGUUGUAACCUUGAGCCACUAGUCUAGCUUUAUUUCUUACAACCACACCGGAUUCAUCCAUUUUGUUUCUAAAUACCCAUUUAGUGCCUAUAAUGGAUUGAUGUUCUGGAUUAGGAACUAACUCCCACACAUUGUUUCUCUUAAAUUGAUUCAACUCCUCUUGCAUUGCCAUAAUCCAAGAUUCAUCAUUUUCCGCAUCCGCAAAGGAUUUUGGUUCAAUUUGAGAAAUAAAUGCAGCAUGUUCACAUGUGUUCCUAAGAGAUUAUCUAGUUGUAACACCUCGUGAGGGAUCUCCUAAAAUUACAUCCUUAGGGUGAGAAGAUACAUACCUCCACUCCUUGGGGAGUGUUUGAGAAGUACCUUCAUUUUGCUCUACAUUCAUUUCUUCAUGAUGUUCCUCUUGAAUUCCAUGUGGCGCGUCUUCUUGGUUGUCAUUCGAUGCUUCUUCUUGUUGUUCUUCUUCUGCAUUAUCAUCAACAACAGCUUUCUCCGUAGAGGGGUUAGACUCAUCAAAUGUAACAUGCAUAGAUUCUUCCACAACUAAAGUUCUUUUAUUAUAAACUCUAUAAGCUUUGCUUGAAUUUGAAUAACCAAGAAAUAUACCAACAUCAGAUUUUGGAUCAAAUUUACCAAGAUUAUCUUUUGUAUUCAAAACAAAACAUUUGCAUCCAAAAACUUUAAAAUAACCAAUGUUGGGUUUUCUAUCUUUCCAAAGCUCAUAUGGAGUUUUAUCAAGAUUAGGUCUAAUCAACAUCCGAUUUAAAACAUAACAAGUAGUGUUGACGGCUUCGGCCCAAAAAUACUUAGGCAAAGAAUUUUCAUUCAACAUGGUCCUAGCCAUUUCUUGAAUAGACUUAUUCUUUCUCUCUACUACUCCAUUUUGUUGUGGAGUCCUAGGUGAUGAAAAUUGAUGUUCAAUGCCAAAGUCAUUACAAAAAUUUUCAAAUGCAUGAUUUUCAAAUUCUCCACCAUGAUCACUUCUAAUACAAGUAAUAGAAUAACCUUUUUCAUUUUGAACCUUUUUAUAAAAAAUUCGAAAUGCAUCAAUGGCAUCAUCCUUAUUAGCUAAGAACAAUACCCAUGUGUAUCUAGAAUAAUCAUCCACAAUUACAAAUGCAUAAAAUUUGCCACUUAAACUAGCAUAUUUAGAAGGUCCAAAUAAAUCUAUAUGAAGCAAUUGAAGUGGUUUUGAAGUGGAGACAUGAUUCUUGCUUUUGAAGGAAGUUUUGAUUUGUUUUCCAAAUUGGCAUGCUUCACAAGUUCUAUCUUUUUGAAAAUUGAUUUUUGGAAGACCUUUUACUAAAUCAUUUUUCAUAAUUUUUGAAAUCAAAUCCAUGCUUGCAUGACCUAAUCUUCUAUGCCAUAACCAACCAUCAUCAUACAAUGCGGAGAGACAUUUCUCAUUUGUUGAUGCACAAUCUAUAUUAAUGGUAUAGACAUUAACACAUCUAUUUCCUACAAACAAGACUUUCCCAUCACAUGCAUUCUCAAUAACACAUUUUGAUUCAUCAAAGAUAACUCUAUAUCCUUUAUCACAUAAUUGACUAAUACUAAGCAAAUUGUAUUUCAAGUUUUCAACCAAACACACAUUCUCAAUGAGGGUAGAUGAUACAUUACCGACAUUUCCAAUUCCAAUGAUUUUUCCUUUUGAAUUAUCCCCAAACGAAACAUCUCCACUAUUUUCGAUCUUGGUAAAGCUUGAAAACCAAGAAUAAUUCCCUGUCAUGUGUCUUGAACAACCGCUGUCCAAGUACUACUUAUUCUUCUUCUUCUUUGAGCCCUGUAGAAAAAAUCUCAAGUUUUAGGUACCCAAACCCUUUUGGGUCCUUGAGAGUUAGCAAUGGUUCCUUUCGGAACCCAAACACAUUUCAUACCAUAAUAUGCAUUUCUCUUCACUGCACAUCUAUUUUUCAUAUGGCCAUCUUGAUUGCAAUAAUGACAUACAAUUUUAUUGUUAAUAGAUGUAUUCUUCACAAAAUAACUCUUGUAAAAUUUUUGUUUCAAAUUCGGUUUAUAACCUAUGCCACUUUUGUCAAAUACACAUUUUUGUGAGUUUAGCAAAUUGUCCAACAUCUUUUGCCCAUUUGUGAAUUUUAGCACAAUUUCAUUUAGUUCAUUGCUCUUCUUUCUAAGCAUUUCAUUCUCAUUUUUCAAGUCAUUCAUGUGUGACUCUAAGUGCUCAUGUGAGGUGCUAGAAUUCUCAAAUAAUGCAAUACUAUCAUGCAAUGUUUUAUUUUCUAAUUCUAGGCAUGUAAUCUUUGCACUAAAUGAAUCAUUUUCAUUCUUAAGCUCUAUCAUCUUCCUUUAAGACAUAUAUUCUUUUUACCAAUCUUCAUUAGCUCAUCAUAAAAAUCCUUAAAAGCAUCAUGCAAUUCAUCAUAAGUGGGAAGAACACUUACCUCAUCAAGUUCAUCACAUGAUUCUUCCCCAACAGCCAUGAGAGCUAAGUUUGUCAUUUCUUGUUGCUCAUCAUCGUCACUUGUUUCGUCAUCGCUAUCAUCCCAUGUGGCCACCAUAGCUUUCUUCUUGAGUUUGUUGAGAAGAGGACAUUCCGGUCGUAUGUGUCUGGGCUUCUUGCAUUCAUAACAAAUGAUUGGCUCCUUCUUCUCUUUCUUAUUCUUGUAGCUUCUGAACUUCCUCUGCUCAUUAUUCUUUUUGUAAAAUUUUUUGAAUCUUCUAGCCAACAUGGCCAGCUCCUCAUCAUCCAUUUUGCUUUCCUCAUCACUCUCACGUUUUGAAGCCUUGAGAGCAAUGUUCUUCUUCUUUUCCUCAUGCCCUUUUUUGGCUGCCAAAUCUUCUUCAUAUGAAAUGAGAGAGCCAAUUAAAUCAUCAAUAGGUAAUACAUUUAAAUCCUUGGCUUCCUCAAUGGCAGUCUUUUUUUGUCUCCAUUCCUUAGGUAGAGACCUAAUGAUUUUCUUGACUUUUUCGCUAUUUGAAAAAGUCUUUCCUAGGGCUCCUAGAGUGUUCACUAUGUCCGUGAAUCUAGUAUACAUAGAGUACACAUUUUCAUUUUGUUCCAUUUAGAACAAUUCAUAUUGUCGAGUGUACCUACUUAUUUUAGAUUCUUUCACUUGGUUCGUGCCUUCAUAGACAACCUCAAGUUUGUGCCAAAUUUCAUUAGCACUUUCGCAACUAGACACUCUAUGAAACUCUUUCUUAUCUAGUGCACAAAACAAGACAUUCAUGGCCUUGGAAUUUAGAGAAGCUUUUCUCUUUUCAAAUUCAUUCCAAUCCCGUGAAGGUUUUGGAAUAUCUUCUCCUACUUCAUUUUUAGUCAAAGGCAUGAAAGGACCAUCAUUAACGAUUUCCCAAAUCUCAUAAUCUAAGGCUUCCAAGUAAAUUUUCAUCCUAAUUUUCCAAUAUGGGUAAUCGUUUCCAUCAAAGUAAGGUGGUCUAGUGGUGGACUGCCCUUCCCUAAAUGUGGAAUCAUUUUGAGUUGCCAUUGAUCUUUAACUCUAGAUGGUUAAAUCUAAAUAAGAGCACCAAGCUCUGAUACCAAAUGAAAUAUAAGUGUGCAACCCAAGAGGGGGGGUGAAUUGAAAUUUUAAAAUUUAUCCUAACAAAUCCACACAACAAGCAAUCUAAUGUCUUAACAAUAAUUGAAAACAAUAAGUUCAAUAAUAGCACAAUAAUUAAAGAGUAAGGGAGAAGAGAAACAAACACACGAAUUUUUACGUGGUUCGGCAAUCCCCGCCUACGUCCACGCCUCCAAGCGAUCCAAGCUCGAGGAUUUCACUAUCCAAGCCUUUCCAAGGCUUCAACGAUUACAAUUGACUUCGAGGUGUCAAUAAACGUUUACAACAAAGAGAUUAUCUCCCAAUCUCUUCACUCAAGUGUCUCGCACACUCAAACUCUUACAAAUAAAUUGAAGAAAUGAAAGUUACAAUGAAACUCACUCAAUGAGUAGAUAUUCAAAGAUGAAGAACAAUAAAUGAUUCAAUAAUUUGUGUUUUGCAAGUUGAAGGCUCAAGAUAUCACGUGUGCUUUUUGUUUUUGCUUGUUGGAGAGCUUCAAAAUGAGUAGGAUUUGAGUUUAUAUAAUUUGAGCUAAAAAAUUAUCCGUUAUGCACAUUUUGGUCGUAACCGGAUUACCGGUUAUGGACAUCCGGAAUUCCACUUAAUGUUACCGUUACAGCCACAAUUUUGAAUUUCUGAACAUCUGGAUUGCCGCUUUGUCACAUCCGGAUUUCCGCUUAUGCUCAGUAGCUUACUGCCCAACAACCGAAUUUCCGUUUGUCAGGAUCCGGAUUUCCGCUUGCUACAGUAACUGCUACAGUGAUUAUUUCCCAAAUUUAUAGUUUGACCCCAAAACUUUAUAAAACUGUAGCGUGGCCCAAAACGUUAUGAAAGUUUGCAAAAAGGUCCUAUUUCAGAAUUUUAGAAUAAUGCUUUGUCAAUCCCACAACUUUCUGAAAUUAUGACUUCGCCCAAACUUUGUGAAAUUAUAAUAUGGCCCAAAAAUAUUUAAAUAGUUUCAAAUAGGUCCAAAUCCGAAAUUUAAAAACACUAUCAAAGAUUUUAAAAAUACUUUCAUUUUAGUCCAAAAUACUUUAAUUUCAUAACAUCAUUUUCUUAUUAUAAAAGCACAAUUCAUAAAUCUUUGCUUAAUAAAUACAUGUGGUUUGUUAUCAUCAAAAUCAAUAUUUAUAGCCAUAUAGGCUAACAGACCUUACCUCAUCGACAAACCCGUUGGGUCAGGUGCAUACAGGCUACUCCACAUGGAUGAGACAAUCGUGAGGCACCCCUGGAAUAUUGCAAUGCUACGGAAAUAUUACUAAAGGACAGUGUCUUAACCUUUAGUCUUUUGCUACUAUUUACUUUCUUUAAUAUUUUUGUGUGGUAGGCCAAAUGGGGUACCCCAAACGCCCUAUGUUGGUCAGUUGCAACUUUAGAGUUUAUUUAAUUUUCAAAUGAAAAGGAUAGGAGGUCUUGCGGUCUCCUGUUCUCCUCAGGGUAACAAAGUUAAGUCAUGUAUUGAUCAAUGCUUUCGUUAUCUAUAAAUGCAUUUUCUUUCUCAACAAAUAUGAUGUGGGUUCUUUCUUUAUUUUUCGCCACUUCGAUCUUAGAAUGCGGAUUAUAUUCAUUUAUCGCCAUUAAUAUACCAUCGCAUCUGGUUAUAUGCAAUUCUCGUCAUACGCUUGUCAAUUAUGACUAACCUAUCAUAGGACCAACCAGGGUACCUGAUAUGCCUAGAUCGUGAUGAUCUAUGCAAAGCCAAGAUGGGCAACGGAGUGAACAGCCCAGGGGUAGCCUUUCUGCGGAAGCAUGACAAAACUACAUAAACAAAUAGAGGGAGGGUCAAAGAGGACCCGAGGGUGGAGUAAAACCGGCAUACCAUAGCGCCACGAGGUUCAGCUUAGGUAUGAGUACACCCACACCUCUAUCCUCUUACUUGAGCAAAGUAUGGGUAAGCUAUUCCAAAAAUUCGGAGGGAACUUCGAAAGAAUAAGAAAUUGAUUGGUUGGACCAAUUGCGCACUAUCAAUUUUUGAUCGAGAUGUCGCAAGGAUGUUUUGAUUACCUAUUUGUAGGAAAUUCGCCAUAGUUACCGAGAAGGGCAUGCACCAAAUUUGACGAUCUAUAUAAACCAGCAGGCGCCUGAUGUCGAAUAUUUGUUAAGGUACCGGGGGUACCCCAUUUUAAAAAAGAAAAAUGAGAGGUACCCUAAAAAUUUGCAAGAUAACAGUUUAGCCAAGCAUUCAUUUGCAGAAUAAUAAGAAUGCAAAGUACGAAAGGGCUCGGUGGCAUGGUAUCAUAACAAAAGAGAAGUCCCAAUAAUACAAAAUAUCCAAGAAACCAAAAAGAAAGAAACAAGUUCCAAAUAGCAAAAUGUGGAUAGAUCCAAAAAACAAGAGUACAGUGAAAAGGCUACACCAAGGGUAGAACGCCAUCCCCACCAUCCGUCUCCAGAAGGCGAUCAGCAGAGGACUCUAAGGUACCCAGAAUAUGAGCAGCCGAAGUAGGGGCAUCUGAGGCGGGCAACAACUGAAGCGCGCGGGGUACCCUAGGCGACUCGGAAGGGGUACCCGACCGUGCAUGGGAAUACUUCUUCCUCUCCGCAAUCGUCUUCAGAAUCGUGGCCUUACUGACGAAUUUCUGCACACGGGGUACCUCCAAUUCCGGAUCCACGCUCCACACCUCUGUCAUGAUAAGUGAGAACGCAUCCUCCGCCAUCGUCUUUUGUCGGAAUAACAAAUCCUCGUUUGUGGCCUUCAACUCAUCGCAGUCCUUCUCCACUCGAGUUUUCUCUCCCGAUAGGCCAGUAAUGCGUUCUUGCAAAGUUUUGACUUCUCGAGCAAGCUGAUCCUCGCGAGACUGACGACUUUGGAGCUCACCCCUUAACUUUUCGACUUCUGAUUGGGCAGCAACAAGGGAGUCGAGGUCUGGAAGGCAAUAGCUGAGGAGAAAAGAUGCCUGCAGGUCAUAGAAGACAUGUUAAAUAUAUGUGUAUGGCAAUAAGAUUAAAUAAGUAAAAAAUGAAGGGUACACCCGGGGUACCCCGGGAAAGCCUACCUCUUGGGUAGCCCUAAGUGCUUGACCAUAGCGCUGGCUCAAACUCAUCCUGUCUGUCUCUUCAGCGACCUCGGAGGUAACAUUUUCGGCAGAAUAGUAGAAACAGCGAGCCAAGUGCGAAACCUCCUUGUUGGAAGCCGGGUCUAGGUCACCUUCACGCAACUCAUCGGGGAAUGUAGAAACCAGCCCGAAUUUUCUCUUCUUUGAACGAAAGGUACCCUUUGACGCACUGUGGGAGGUACCCUGAGAUUUUCCCUUUAGUCUGGGAGCUCGAGGUGGCCGGAAACUUUUCUGAGGUACCGCCGAAUCCUGAGAUCCAGAAGCACCACCCACUACUACUUGGAAAAAGGCAUCAAAAGCGUCACCCGCUGACUCCAUAACUGCACCCAAUGCAUAAACGUUAUGUUAGCUGGACGAGUACUAAGUAUUACAAAAGCAAAAAUGGGAAAUGAAAAGCAGGGAAGCAAAAUAAAGAAUGCGGUGAUAACGGGGUACCCCAGUCCCGUAGAUAAUAAUAGGGUACCCCCCGACCCCCAAAUCAUACAUGAGCCACCCCCGAGAGCAGGUGGAAGACUUUAGUCAAUCAGCCCCGCUCUCCAUAAUCCGCUCUCCUCUAACACAUCACUGCUCCUCUGUGCACCUCGAAGCCUCUCCACAAACUUCUUCACCUCUCUCCCCACCUCCUGAACUGGGCAUGAUCCUUUAGCCCACGUCACACCUACAAAAGCAUGGAGAACCCAAGGUUAGCGAGACAUACAUGCGAAAGAUUAAGAUAAAGAACCGUAAAUAAGGGAGAUACUUACAGUCUACAUUGAAGGAAUUGAGAACCUCCACGAGAUUACCCUUUUCAUCCAGAGUCUCUAUCCCCCACCUACCCUCAGCCACAAACCAUCCAUUUCUGUAACCCUUCUUCAAGGCGGGGUCCCCCUCAACAAUAUGACCAUGAUCACCCAAAGCGGAGAAGUAAGCAAUGGCGAGAUCCUUAGGCUUUUUGAAUUGGUAAAGGCCCCUCAAUUCCCGCAUAGAAAUGUCGCGCCUCAAUACUUCCAACCAUAACACAUGUAAGCCCGUAAGUGUCCUCCACCCGGGAAGGGACAGCUGCCCAAGAGCUACCCCCAAAUAACUAAACAAUCUCAUAUAAAAAGGUUGGAGGGGCAGGCAGAGUUCUAGAUCAAAGAGGUCAAUGUGGAGAGCAAUCCCGUCAGGCUUCAGACACUCAGGUCGUUCAUCCACAUGGGGUACCCUAAGCUGGACAGAGGGAGAAAUAUUGUAUUUGGCUCUAAUUUGUUCUAAGUCCCCCAAAGUAGCUCUCUUAGUGCCUAAGGAAUAAAGGUUGCCAGAUUUUAAAGGUGUGGCAGAGGGAGACUUGGGAGGCCGGCCUGAGGAACGAGCUGGAACCUUGGGCUUGGAUGACCUACCCUUUUUUUUAGGAUGAGGGGUUGGCCGUUUACUGGGAAAGCAUGGGCUGACACGAGGAGUACUCCUAGGGGAGGGAGCUUAGAGUGAGAGUUACAACUCCCAGAGGUACUAGGGGGAGAUCUAUCCCCCUCGCUAAUGGAGAUGUAGGAAGGAGAACCCGCAGGAGGGCUGUCAACCCUACUAGCCCCAACUGCACGAUGCUUCCUCACUGGCCCCGUAUGUUUCUUGCCUAUUUACUUUCCCCCAACAAUAUAACCAUGAAGCCACAAUUCCCCCAACAACAUAACCACCAAGCCACAAUUCCCCCAACAACAUUUUCAUACCAUACACCACCCACCACACAUCAACCAUUAAAUGCAAACACCAACAAAAAAAAAAACAAACAAACAAACAAAUUUUUCUCAGAGUAUGCAAAAUAGUGCCAUUGUAAAUGCGCCAAAGGAGGAGAAAGGGGGAAGGAUACUUGUGAUUUACCAACUUGAUGGAUCGGGAUUGGUAAUCGUGGGGAGAUAAAGCUGCAGGCAACCAAAAACAGUAAGUAAGAAUAUGCAAAUAUAAAAACUAAUGGUGUGAAGAACGAAGAAGCUGCAAAUUUAUUUUAUUUAUUCAAGCACAAAUGAAAUUAGCCAAUUUAUUUUAUUUAUAAAUAUAAAUAUAUACCGCGACCAAAUGCUUAUCAAGGGUGUAGAUGAGAGCGCCAUGUGUAGGAUGUUUACACACACACUCACGGGCCCCGCGAAGUCAUGGUUUCGCUCUUUGAAAGUAGGUAGCAUAUCUUCCCUACACCAAUUGUUAUCCAAAUUUACUAAAGAGUUUUCCUACGCUUCCACUCAAGAUAGAGUAGCCUCCAAACUUGCCUUUAUCAAGUAAGGGGAAGCCAAGCCCUUGGCAGAGUAAGUGAGUCGUUCCCACCAAGAGGUGUUGCGAACCGGAGCAUUUGGAAACUAAUACACAUUGACCCAUUUUGAAAAAAAUUUACGGUUGGACAAGUUAUGGCGUUCUUUUCAAAAGAAGCGCUCACUUUCAUAUGGGGAAGCUCGUUCCCAGGCGUUGCAGCAGGUGGAGAUGAACGAGAAAUGUCAAUUGAAGCGCCAAGAAGAUAAAACCGAUGUUACAAAGAACAAGGAGAAGCCCAAGAGGAUAGAGGCCCUAAUACCGCAGGUACCCCGAGCACGGAGCCCUCCACGGGCUGCCCCGCGGGGACGAGGGUAUAACGCUCAGGACCUCCAAGAUCGCCACCACCGGAUCAGCGAGAGCCAUCACCGAGGCCUCAGUACAAAUCUUACCAUCCACUGAAUCGAUCCCCAAAGCAUAUCUUCUACCAUAUUCGGGAUAGUGGCCUCCUUCAUCCUCCUAAGCCAAUGAAGAAGUACCCCAACAUGAAGCAUAGCCUUAAGUAUUGUGAGUUCCAUGAGGACUUCGGUCACAGCACAACCGAGUGUUUUACCUUGCGAGAGGAAAUUGAAGAUUUGAUUCUUAGCGGGUACCUCAAAGAAUUUGUUGCUGGCAUGAGAGAAGCUCGGAAAUCCGCGGAGCAAGAUAAGGGCAAGCAUGUAGCUGAUGGUAGUCCUGAACGAGAGGUACCCCCGGGACAUAACAAAUGCGUGUAUGUCUAGAUGAUCAUGGGUAGACCGACUUUAGCGAGCCAAUCUAGGAGGGCUAUCAAAGGCUAUGGUAGAUCGUUGUCGAUAACCACCAAUAUUGGCAGAGAAGUCAACCUUAAUGAAUAGGGUACACCGAAGGUACCCCACCAUCCCCCGCCUAUCCUUUUUACAGAAAAAGAAGCGGGGAGUAUCUCGUACUCCCAUGACGAUGCCUUAGUAAUUACGUUGAAGGUUGCCACCGGUAAGGUAGCAAGAACUCUUGUAGAUACCAGCAGCUCCAUUGACAUCAUUUUCAAAAGCGUCUUGGAUCAACUAUUGAUUGAGUCGCCAAAGAUCACCCCCUAUGCUACGCCUCUUAUUGGGUUCGCCGAAGAUAUGAUUAUACCAAAGGGCAUCAUUACGCUGCCCGUUACACUUGGUAAGGUACCUCACCGCGUUGUUCAUAUGAUUGAUUUUCUUAUUGUAGAUCACCCAUGUGUCUACAAUAUUAUAUUGGGUAGGCCGUUCUUAGUAGCAACUAAAGCGGUGGUAUCCAUGCACUACCUCGCCAUGAAAGUCCCGGCCGCCCAAGAAGUUAUCACCAUUAAAAGGGACCAACAAUCUGACUAUACUAUGCUUGACUUUCGGAGUAUGUAAAAUUGAUGGGGUUUUGUUUAUUUAGCUUGCUGAGUGGUUUAUCUUGUUUGGGGAUAACUUGUUUAGCAUGUAUGGUGAAAUGAAAGUAUACGCAACUAAAUUGCUCUAGUCGGCAAUAACCUUCUAAUAUUGAGUGAGAUCACCAUGUGACAAUGCUUUAAUUGCAUGGCAUCUAAGAUGCGAUUUUGCUAGAUUGUUUUUAUGUAGGCAAUACAUUCUAGUGUUGGACAACACCCUUCUAGUCUUCGAGCGACUUCACCAAGUGACAAUGCUUUAUUGGCAGGGCAUCUAAAAUGCAAUUAUGCUAGGUUGUUUUUAUAUUUGUUUCAGCACUGUAUGCACCGUGUGUCUUUGUAUGUAUGGGCUUUCUUAAAUAUGAGAUUGUUUCUUUCUAACCUCUCUCAUGCUACAGAAGGGGGUUUGUAUUUUGUUAUUAUCGGCUGAUUAAAUGUCCAUUCUUAAUUGUUUAUUUGGGCAGAUAUACUCCUAGCACUUCUACAGUCACAUAUAAUUUGAAAUCCAAACCGCAACAAAAUCUAAAAUGGCGGAGAGUAGUGUUCAAAAUUAGUGGUUCUGCGCUAGUUGGGAACUGCCAUAAUAUCGACCCCAAGGUGCAAUUCUUUUGCCCUCUUUUAAGUAUAAGUUGAUGUGGUUUAAAUUUUGCGAAUAAGGAAGUAUUUAGAUGUACAAUUUGUUUGCAGUGUGUUAUGGUUGGUUUUACAUGGGGAAACCGUUUUACAUAUGGUUUGUGUUAUUAGGUGGUGAUGUAGAUUGCCAGGGAAGUAGCAUCAGCCUGUCGUCUUGGGAUGGAGGUAUUGCCCAAACUCUCUUUUACAUGUUUUAAUUGUUCAAAAUGUUCCUUUAUUUGUGUUUUUCUAAGUUUAGGUUGUAGAUGCUCAUUAUUAAGUGACCUUUAGGUGGCAAUUGUUCUUGGAGGUCGAAACUUCUUUUGCGGGGAUUCAUGGCUUUCUGAUACUGGCUUCGAUAGACCCACAACUUAUCAAAUUGGGUAAUUUCUAUGUUAUUUAUCUUGCAUUUAAACUUCCAUCUAUAUCUUUCAAUUAUAGUUGGAGUCUAUCUUGUUGACUUUAUAGUCUGUGAAGAAUUAGGAUGUUUUGUUUAUUCUGUUAACAGACCAUGCUUAUAUGGUCAGUAUAGAUUAGGAAGUUUUGUUUAUUAUGUUACAAAGUUCGCAGUUCUAUCCUCAUUUUCUCUCCCAUUUUAUGCUUAUAUUUCAUUGAUGCAGCGUUGAAAUUGAAUUGCUAUUAUAUUGGAUACUGAAUUUAUCAUCUGGGUCAGGCCUUGGACACCUUUAGUGCUGCUCUAAGUGAUCCAUACAGUUGUAGGUUGCUUAUAUCUCUUCCCAACCUUAUAAUACCUUUUGCAAUGUGACCGUGAUUUCAUUUCAGAAUGAUGGCAACGGUUAUGAAUUCUAUAUUGCUCCAAUCAGCCUUGGAGAAGCUGGAAAUUAAGACGCGUGUUCAAAGUGCAUUUGCUUUGCCAGAGGUUGAUGAACCUUAUAGCAGGCAAAGAGCCAUCCGAUAUCUUGAAAAAGGGAGAGUUGUGAUAUUUGGUGGCAUUGGUGCUGGCACCGGAAAUCCGCUUUUUACCACUGAUGCUGCUGCUGCUAUUAGAGCUUCUGAACGUAAGCUUGUACUACUUAACAGCUCUAUUUCAUUCUCUUGUUUCUGUAUAUAAUAUCACUCGCUGUAAUCAUGGUUUACUGCCAGUACUGGUGUUCUUUCUCCUUUUACCUGUUUGUGUGGAGUUUUACUUGGAAAAUAAUAAUGACAUGCUUUGCAUAUUUUUCAUGUCAGUUAAUGCGGAUGCAAUGGUUAAAGGUGUAAGUGUCAAUGGUAUAUAUGAUUCCCACUCUGGUAAUGGCCAUGUAGUACCGGAACACAUAUCUUACAGGGAGGCAGUCUCUGGCAACUUUACGUCCAUGGACACAAUGGCCAUUACAUAUUGUGAAGAGAAUGGGAUUUCUGGUUGGUAUUUUCUUUUGCCGUAAUUCUAGCAGUUGCAAAUCAGAUCCCUUUGGCUUUUCCUGAUACAUAUGUAUACAAUCUCUGUAGUUGUAGUGUUUAAUCUGCUUGAGCCUGGGAAUAUUUCAAGUGCAUUAUGCGGAGGCCAAGUGGGCACGUUGAUUGACCAAUCAGGAGGAAUUAGUUGAUGCAAAAGAAAUGUCUGCUGGAUGUGCUUUGAGGCAUGAUGUCAACUUCAUGGAAGUACAGCAGGUCCAGUGUCAAAAACAUGUAUAUAUUGGAAAUUUGAAAUGCAGCAAUCGCAAUCGAAUGCAUCACUUUGAACUCGCUACUGUAACAUAAAUGACUGAGUUUGGAGCAUAUCCCUGUGUCACAUGUAAAUCCUGUAGUAGAAUUAGAACCUACCCAAUAAAUGAUGAAGAAAAAUGCUGGUUUCAGUGGGAAAGUUAUUGCUUCAACGACCCUCCCAGACGUUUCUUUCUUUGUUAAUGUGCAAAGUCAUCUGCUUUUUUAGGAUUUUUAAUGUGAUUAUUUAGUUGUCACAAACAAUUUACUCUUCUUUGAGUGACUCCAAAUCAUGGGUGUCAUAUUGCUUUCAACCUUUCAGUUUUUCGAGAGGAUGCGAUAAGCUAAUUUUCAUGUUGAAUUGUAACCAAAUAUCUUUUUUUUAGGCUACCGUUUAACAAAACAAAAUUGGUAAAUAGACAAACCCCCCAACCUGCUCUUUU
Molecule: long non-coding RNA, 64604 nt
Filed under: Citrus maxima (pomelo)
Lineage: Eukaryota; Viridiplantae; Streptophyta; Magnoliopsida; Sapindales; Rutaceae
Description: long non-coding RNA (CMAX_LNC001010)
Rfam family: Plant small nucleolar RNA R71 (bases 43824-43927)
Source: RNAcentral